This 55190-nucleotide long non-coding RNA is filed under the name Volvox carteri. RNAcentral describes it as "long non-coding RNA (VCAR_LNC001636)". The record is from RNAcentral. Lineage: Eukaryota; Viridiplantae; Chlorophyta; Chlorophyceae; Chlamydomonadales; Volvocaceae.
ACAUACAUACAUACAUACAUACAUACAUACAUACAUACAUACAUACAUACAUACAUACAUACAUAUACACGACUAGAUCUCAGGGAUCACACCCCAAGGAACGUGUUAUCCAGCGCCAGGGGCUAUGUUACAACCCCAGGGAGGGCGAGGGGGUUCACGGCAGCUGCUCCCGGGGGGGGACCAUGCGGACCCAAACCCGUUUGGAGCCGACCCACACACCCCGGCUUCUCGUCUGUCUGUCUGUCUGUCUGUCUGUAAGUAUGACCCUCUUAGCAGGCAUGUCUUAGCUCGUCAUCACAGAUCGCGUACCAGCAAAAACACACACCUCACUCCCUACCUUUUUCUUCUUGUCAAUCUCCGCCAGAAUGGCAUCGAGCCCUGAAGAAGUGGGCGGCGGUGGGGGUGCGGCGGCCCGGGCCGCGGCCUUCUGAGCCUCCUUGCUGUCCUUGUCCACAUGCAUGGUCACCUGCGCAUGCAUCACGGAGAUUGGGGGGAGGGAAGCACAACGGUACUGGCGGGGUUCGUAUCGGCUGAUGCACUAAAAAACACUGUCGAUGGGAAGGUGCGUGUUCUUGUGCUUGAGCUUGUAUGUAUGUAUGUAUGUAUGUAUGUAUGUAUGUAUGUAUGUAUGUAUGUAUGUAUGUAUGUAUGUAUGUAUGUAUGUAUGUAUGUAUGUAUGUAUGUAUGUGCGUAUGUACGUAUGCAUGUGUAUUGUCAUGUGGAAAGGCGGGGGGGAAAGAGAGGACAUAUGCAGGCACGACAGGCCAAGCAUGUCGGGUGGAGGGCCACGUGCGCGUGCCAUGUAGCUCCGGAUAAAAUCUCCUUAUCCCCCAACCGGAUUUCUCCCCCAACCGUUAAGCUACAGUUGCUCCGCCUUCCAUGGUGUGUUCGAUGGCGUUUCCUCCGUACAGCCCCCCCCCCUAGGUUAAUUGCCGUACAGAUCCCUCGCAAAGAGACUGACCGUGUCAAAUCCCCGGGAUUUCCUCUCCUACUCCACAACGCAGAUUGUACUCAUCACUGUGAUGCCCCUGUUCGCGGUGUUCUUUCUUAUCCUCAAACCCGAUGGACUGAGAUGGACGCAGUGCAUGCAUGUGCAGGUGCACGGUAUAACUACUACCGGUAGUAGUUAUACCGGUAGCAUAUUGCCCAUGUGCUCAAAGCCCACAAUCUACGGGUACGCCGGGGCCCCCAACCAACCAACCAACCAACCAACCAACCAACCACUCCCAGCCCAGCCCGCCACAGCCAGUAAGGCCUACCUGUAUAUCUCUGCCGGCAAAUCGCCGUACCUCCGUAACCGCCACCUUGCCCAACCGGGACCCCGCCGUCGUCGUGUCACGUGCCGCCGCCAGCGCCGCCGCCGCCAGCGCGCGCUUCUCCUCCUCUGAAGCCACUGGGCCCGGUGUACCGCCGCGGGACGACAGCGGCGAGGCGCUGCCGCUGGCGGCUGCGGCGGUCAGCGGCUGCGGCUGCGGCGGCGACAGGCCGUUGGAAACCCCCGGCUCGGCGUCCCCCGGCCUGAGGGAGGACGCCACGUCGGCGGGCUUCGUGGGCCUUUUGAGCAGGCCCAGGUUGCGCAUCCAGAUCUGCGCACGUCGGGGCGCGCACAUACGUACAUACGUACGCACGGAAGGGACGACUGUUGUUGUAACGGAAACGGAUUGUCCCACCAACAAGAAUUCUUCUUACUUACACAAGCAAACAAGUAAACGAAACGAAGGAAAGAAAGAGAGAGAGAAAGAAAGGGGCAGAAAUCCAAAUCAUGAUGGUACAAAUCGAUGGCAACGGAAUGAAUAGCAAUACUAAAGGGGUCAGUAUCAGUUCCAUCAAGUUGAGGAACCCGGCUCGACACUUAGUCACGUGAAGCCCCAGACCCUCCCUUCAGCCACGCCACCACCAUACCAGCACCACCACACCCACCGCGUCCUGGUCAGCUCGUUUGGGUUUCUUAGCUCCCAGAUUUGAGCGACACAGCGCUGCCAAGUUCACCGCGGAGGAGGGCGGACGCUGCGUUGCGCUGCCAUUGGCCGCAGCCCGCGCGUUGAUCUGCUGCCACAGAGACGCCACCUUGGCCUGCUUGGCCAGUGCGCUGGGGUCCAAGUUCUGCGGACUGGCCUCCGCCGCCUCGUUGCCGUCGUCAUCAUCAUCGCCGUCAUCACCGCCAUCGUCAGCGUCAUCAUUGCCGGCGGUGGCUGCGAUGGCCGCGCCGCGCCUGCGCGCGUGUGUGGCAUCAAGCCGGUAGCAGGUCGGGUCAAGAGGAGCGACGAGCGCGGGGGAAAGGAGGGGGUCAUGGGGGGGGGGUAGUGGUUAGGGGCUAGAGCUGUGGGACUCGGGAACGUCCACUUUCAUUUAGAAAGAUAGCACACAAGGGCUUGCAAAUUUAUGAUUGUGAAUGUUAUGUGCAUGGGAAGUUGUAAGCCUGUGCGCAGAUUGGGAUCAGCUGAAAGGCGGGUGCUCAGGCUUAAUGCAGGUUAGGAUGUGGGGCGCUCCCCUGGCGAUGACACGGAGACCCCAGCCAGGGAAAACCGCGCAACCCAUGGCUUCCUCUUAACCUUCGUGAGCGCCCCAAAAAUGUGAGGGCACACGGACUGAAGGAUUGCAUCCCAGUUGGUGGUAAAACUUCUAUUACAUUUGUCCGCGCAAACCCAGGGAAUUACUACCUGCGCUUUCUACUUGCGCCGCCGCGACCUGGGCCACCUGUCUGAGGUAAGUCCUCGCGCUCAGCGGUGUUGUCCGCAGCAGGGUUGUAAUCGUCGUCCUCUUCGUCGUCAGAAGGCAGUGCGGUGUUCAGGAAACCCGCCAUCGUAACCCCUUAUGGAAGCUAGCGGAAUUACUCCCUUUGAGGAAUAUACAGCGUCUAUGCAGCACUGUAGACUCCGAAUCGCUAUGGCUCAGCACCUCAGCAUAUGGGCUCAAAGCAACGCCUGAUCAGCAGUGCCCUAACGCAAUCUAAUGUACCGAUUCUUGAAUCCGCAAGUGUUCACGCAUACUGAAAGAAAGGAAGAGGCCCCUCUAGCUGUUUCAGCGUCGCAGCUCCGGAGCCGUACGCAUACGGCAACACCGUUUGACGACCCCCCAUCCAUAGCUGUGCCAAAGCUUCAGACAGGUAAUGAAUUUUCCGAAUGUACUGUUAUGUAUGUUCUCGUCAAAAUUAUUUUGCUUAUGAUAACGUGCUCAAUCUGUAACAUAAGAAACCUUACAUAGCAGGUCAUCUUGAGGAGUGGAACAUAGCUGCCGCUGAACACUUAGUGUGAUAAAGCAGUACCUGUCCAACACAUUUUAUUGGAUAGCAGGCGUGCGGACACAAGUGACCUAGUCAGCAAGCCCUUGUUUCGGCAGACCUCUUCGCAUGCAUUACCUUAUGUAAUGUUUUAUGUAUAUCAACAGUUACAUGGCGAGGCAGCCUGUAAUAUCUAGCUGGUUGCAGCUUCCCCUUAUUUAAAACGCCGACCAGGUUCUAACGAUGGAGUACGCCGAAUAUGACACAGAAGGUAGCAAAUGGUUCCGCCUUUGGGUAAUACCCACCCGCAUUUGACAAUAGCACCUCUCGUGCUCUGCGCCAAUCUAUGCGCAUCUGUGCUAUGACUGCUUCUGUCUUAUUUCGCGCUGAGAGGGAAAACCUGCCUUGGGAUGAGCAUCGUGCAGCUCGUGACGCGCAGGGCCCAGUCUUGCGGGGGCUUGUGUUGUGCCAACACGCGAUACGCUGUUCGGCUCACCACUUUACUCACCACCUGAGCCCAUAGCUUCCGAGUUGGGUCGUCAGCAUGCUCAUGCUCCCCAACUCCAAUUCUCCUUCAUAGCGCCCUCGUUGCCGCCCAUCUGGGUUUCUAUUCAACACAUCUCACACAACAUUUCAGCCCUAUUAAUACACAGCCCCAUGCCGCCGUGUUAUCCCGGGGUUAACCCGGCCCUUCCCCCUCCCCUGACAACACGUGCCCGUCGCCGCCCCUCCCCCUCUCCUCUCUCCAACACUCUCAAACUCGCCGUAUUCCCCAAACCGCAGUCCGCUUCUCCUACCAUCGUUACCCAUCCUCUGACGGCACCGAGGCACCACCAGCGCACCGCCACAACGUCGAUGGCGAGGACACCGAGGAUGAUGAAGGCGACAGCGACCCGGGAAUCAUCGGCACGCUGACUUCGAUCCUCGUGGGGGGUGUCGCCGACCUCCUGACCGAUUUAUCGCCACAUCCUUCACGCGCUACCACCACCGCCGCUAGUGCCAGCACCGCUACUGCCGCGCGCCGAUACGCGAGCACCCAUAGCUCCAAUGACGGCACAUUCAGCAAACCCGUCGCGGCGGACAGCUCCUGGGCCACCGCGCAGGCGCCACCCGCCGCCCACCGCCGCAGCACACGGGCCUGCUCGCUACCGGAACCUAUUGCCGGCGACCACAGCGGCGGCGGCGGCGGCGGCGGUUCGGACCACUUUACGCCGCGGACGGCGGAAGCUCAAUGGCUGAAGUCAAGCCGCAGUCUCGGCCGCGGCGAUGUCGGUGGUGGUGACGACGGGGCCGGCGGCGGUGGCGGUAACUGGGUGUUCCCGCCGCAGCACCGUACGCGGCCCGUGACGGCGCCCACGGGCGCGCCGCCGUCAGGGCGGAGCCGUUCAGGUGUCAGCGGCGAUGCGGCGGUGUCGAAUAGCCUGGUGGGGUCGCCUACAGGCGGCGGCGACGGCGGCGGCUCGACAGGACUGCUUGGCGCGGUAAGCUGUAUAGCAGAACCGAACAACAAUGGGCGGGGUGUGUGCGUAUGUAUGUCUGUAUGUAUGUGUGUAUGCAAUACAAGGAGCUGAGUCGCGAGAAGGAAGUGUGGGCGACGGUGUGGUUAUGGUGUGGCCUUCUCUAAAGUGUGUGUGGUUCGGAGUUCUUUAGAGGUGGCGGUGGCGGCUUUUUCUCUUAACAUGGUUGAGGUUAUGGUGGUGAAGGGCGGGAAGAGGUCAUGGCGUUGGGUGAUUUGGAGCCUUGAUCUGGGUCCUUUGGUGUGAGCAGUGGCGAGUGCUGAGGACUCUGCUAACAAAGUCCGUUUGACUUUGGUCCGCUUUGUCGGGCAGGGCACCUGCAUUGAAUGCAACCCCCCUGCUCCCCCCCCCUUCCGCCUGGGGGUCUAGCCCAGUGCAGUCCUACUACUGAUGUAUACUACUUAUGUGGAAGCAAUAGUAUUGCUCUCUUUCAUUUCCCUGCAUUGAAUCGCCACAUCCCCCUGCACUGAACUUCUGCUGCCUUCUCGUCGUGGACCCGCCAUCGUACGGCGGGCGUCGUACUACGGUGACUUGUUGUACUACGCUGUUCCUUAGAUGUUGACGGGUUUCAGCUCUCUAGGUCAGAAGGCCACUGACCUGCUGACUCAGCUAGAUCACGAUUUUGAAACUAUUUUUAACGGCGUCCUGGAGGGUGACCCCGAAGCCGAAGGGGGCGGAUCUGGGGAGUACGACAGGGAGAGCAGCGCAGGGGUUAACGGAGGGCCCAGGAAGGGCUCCGAAGGUCGGCGGCACAGCUGCAGCAGCGGCGGCGGGGCCGGCGGCGGCAGCGACGCCGCGGACGGGCGCCCGUCCGGCAAGAGCAAUCCAGCAGCAGCCAGGGGCGGGCGUAUCAGCAGUACCGGUACGGCACAGAUGCCGCCGCCGUAUAGCGCGGCGGCAGUGGCUGGCGGCAGGACGGCUGUCGUUACCGGCGCCAUGCCAUCGGCUGCGAAAGCGUCUUCCGCAGCGGCAACUCGCACGACGCCAAUGCCGCCGCCAGUCUCCAGGAGUAGUGGCGGAGGUGCUGCUACCGCCGCCGCCAGCGGCGGCGGCGGCGCCGCCGGCAGGCGCACCGGUAGUGUUGUGAAGGGCCGUAGCCACAAGUUGGACCUCGCGAGAUCGAGUGGCGGCGCCGCCGCCGCUUGGGCGAAGAUGGAAGAUGACGAUGACAGCUGGGGCUGGGGCACCUGUGAUAAAAAGGUCGCGGGGGCUGGCGGCGUGCAAGGGGAGCCAUCUGGGUCGGGGCGUGGGCCAGCGGCGCCGCCGCCGCCGGCGUCAGCGGCGGCGAAUACGAAGACGAAGUCAAUGACGAUCACGAAGACGACAUCAAUGGCGAAUGCGACGGCGAAGGUGACGACGAAGGUGACGGCAAAGCCGCAGCCGCAGGCGGGGGCGGCGACGGCGAAGGCCGCGGCGGGAGGACCACCGCCCGCAUUGCAGCCGUUGACUGGCCCUGGAAUGAGUACGGCAGCGCUGGCACCAUCGCCUGCCAGGACGCGGAGCUGUCGGUCCGUCAGCGUGUCAGUCUCUGCUGCCGCCGCGCUGACGUCACCGCCACCGUCGGCGUCAGCGUCAGCGUCAGAGUCGCGAACCAAUCGCAGCGGCGGCGGCAAGCUGAUCAUUAUUAAGCCCGCUGCCGGGACCGCAACGUCGCGGACGCAACCAGGAACAGGUACAUCAGCCAAAUGUACGACAGCAGCAGCAGCGGCCGUCGCCGUCGCCGCGGCCCGUAGCUCGUCGGUGGUGCCGUCGGCGCCUACGAAGUCCAUUACCAGAGCCGCCGCGGCAGCGUCGCCGCCAGGAUCUCCGGCACGGCAAGCCAUAGUGUCGCCGGCGGGGUCUCCAUCGUCACCAGGCUGUAGAACAGCUGCCGGUGUGACCGUCAGCGACAAGGCGGUGGCUGUUGUGAUGACCAGCAAGGUUCUGCCCUCCCGGGAGCCAUCUUCUCCGGACCGGCGACACCCCCCCAACGACCACAACAAGGGGCCCUUCACUCAUCCCACGCAUGACCCCACGCAACAACAUCAGCGGAUCCACGCCUCGGCCGCCGCCGCGGCCUCCGAGGACUCCUCGGCGACGGCGGCGGCUGCCGCCGUCGCCGCGGCUGUUACCUCGGGCGGCAGCGGCAGUAACCACGACAUGGCGGGGUUUACGUCGGAGGCUAAGGUGGCGGCGGCGGCGGCGGCGGCGGUAACGAAGCAGCAGGCGGAGCUCCGUGAGGAGCUGGAGGAGGAGCGCCGCCGCGCCGAUGCCGCGGAGGCGAGGUGCGCGGAGCUGCAGCAGCAGCUGGACGCGGCGGCGGCGGAGGCGGCUCGUCUGAGCGAGCUGGCGGACGCCCUGGGGGAGCAGCUGGCGAGUAGCGAGAAGCGCGCCGCGGACCUCGCGAAGGUGCGGGAGCCGCGUGUCAUCAAUUGCUGUUUGUGUCGUGAAUUUAUUUGUUGUGAGAAACCGCCCAACAUAACCCCCGCCUAAACCUAACCACGGCUGUCCAUUGGUGGUGGUGCUGAACAAGGAAAUGUUUGUGUCGGUGGUGGUCCUGGUGCUAGUGCUGGAAAUGUCGGUGAUGGUGAUGGUGGUGGUGAUGGUGGUGGUGAUGGUAGUGGUGGUGGUGAUGGUGGUGGUGAUGGUAGUGGUGGUAGGUACGAGGCGUUGGCCGUCCUCGGUGUGUGUCGUGGACACGCCAGGGAAAAGGGAUAAACACACACAUAGUGUACGGGAAGGAUGUGUCGUACUGUAAGCUGUGACUUGUGAGGCUGACGGUGUACCCGCCAUUGCUGCAGGAAAACGGGAGCCUGCGCGCUCCUGCAAGAGCCACCGUCGCUACAGCUGACGCCGCCUGCUCUCCCGUACCAAUUGCUGUCGCCGCCGCCGCCGCCGCUGCCGCCGUACCCGCGGAGGCUUCCAUGACGGCCUGGAGCCCUCACCCUCAUCCGCACCCGGGCCAUCCUCGUUCUCACCACAACUACCCCCACUCGGGGCCUGCUCCAGGGGGGAGCCAUAGCUACAGCCGCAACGGCAGCCGCGCACACAGUAGACAGCCCAGCUGUGGCAGCAUCGCUUGCGACGGCGGCCCUGGCGGCGCCGCCGCUGGUAGCUACGGCCACGGCGGCGGCGGCGGUGGCGUCAGCGAUGAGUUGGUUGAGGCGGCGUUGGUGGCCCAGCUGACGGCGGCGCUGGCGGAGAAGGCUCGCCUGUGUCGAGAAAACGACCUGCUCACUCGGAAAUUGGAGGGACUGCAGGUGCGGAAGGGGUGUGUGUGAGUAUGUAUGUGUAUGUGUGUAUGUCUGUGUGUGUGUCUGUGUGUAUGUCUGUAUGUGUAUGUGUAUGUGUGUGUGUCUGUGUGUGAAAGCGGGAGGACGGCGCGGGUGAGGGAAGACGAUUGGGUUUGGGAGGAGAGGGGGUUGGGGAAGCGCCAAGGGAGUUUGUCCAGUUCCCCGGCCGAUCAUGGCGCUUAGGCGCAGACCUACCUGAUAUCGCGUGACGUCACCUGCUGCGUUGCUGGUGCCCCUGGAGUCCUCAACGGGGAUGGCCGCGCUCACUGCCAUCGCCUGACGCCGCCCAUCUUGUGCUCCAUUCAGGAGCUGCUGUCGUACACUGCACAGCAUGCAACGUAUGCACAUGGGGAUGGUGGCAUUGCCGACGACGAAGGCUACGGUUACGACGGCUUGGACGGCGCUGCGUACGAUACCACGUACUGGCAGUACGAUGAUUUGUCGACGACGCCGCUGACGCGGCCGCCAGAUGCGGCGGCAGCGGCGGCGGCGGCGCCGCCGCCCCCGUCACCGCCCCCGGGGGUUGCUGUCGGCUCCCCUUCUGGUAGCGGCGGGAGGCCUUCGAGCUCGUACGGCGAUCUUCUGUACGACUUUCGCGAUGGCUGCCAGCGCCACGUCGGCGCCAGCGGUCCUAUCUCCUGGGGUACCCCCGAGCCACCAGUGCCAAUUUACAAAACCCGUCAAAGAAGGAGCAACGCCGUGGCUGGCUUCGAAACCCAUUCGGCUCUAAGCGACAGGAGCCCGGCCAGCGGCGGCCGCAUCGGCGUCUUGGAGUUUCCCCCCCCAGAUGGGUCCCCGCUCCUAGGACGCCGUACCGGCGACGGCGACGCAUGCGGCGACGGCCAGUCCACCGAUGCGGUGCGGACGUGCCGCGCCGCCGCCAUGUGCGCUGGCGGCGGCGCUGUUGGCGGCGGUGAGGAGUGGCGGCCGGCGGCAGACCUGCCGGCGAAUGACGGCCAGGAAGGUGCCAGCGAGCAGAUGGAAACAUGUAAAGAGGCUGAGGCUGGGCGCCACACCUGGCAGGAGCGGCGGCCGGUCCGCGCGGGCACGCCUUCGUCCCCUCAGCAACUGCCACAUGGGCAGCAGCAGCAUGGGCAUGGGCAGCAGCAGCAGCAGCAGCAACAGCAGCAGGACGGCCGGGGUCGGGAGGAGAUGGGGGCCCGGCAACCGGAGGAGGAGGAGCGCCAGCAGCAGCUGCAGCUGCUGCUGCUGCUGCCUUCGUCGCCGCCGCCUGAGCCACCGUCACAGCCGUCGCCGUCGUCGCCGCCGCCGCCGCCAGCUCGGACCGGUAGCUAUCCCGACGGGUGGGAGCUGCUCGACGAGGAGGGAGAGGUGGUGGUGGCGCUGCCCCCACCGCCGCCGCCAGCUCUAAAGCGCAGCUGCGGAGGGACACCGGCGGCGGCGCCGCCGCUCCAGCGGCGGCCAUCUGUUGGUACGGCAAGCACAUCCAGUAAGGCGGCGGGCGCUGUCGCCGCUGACGCAGCGGCGGCUGACACUGCUGCCAGGCCGGCGGUGUCAGCCGCCGCCGCCCCCAUGAAGGAGCGGACCAACAUUCCAACUGGGCCUUGAGGGAGCUGGCUGCGCUGUACGCCACACGCGGUGUGGCGUACACGCCGUGUGGCGUGUGCGCCUGCAUGUGCGAUGCGGUGGAUUGCUGCCCCCAAACCCCUGUAUGGCACCGCCGCUGGUACCGCCGCUACCGUUGGCGCGGCCGCUACUGCCGCCGCUACUGUUGAUGCACUCUUCCUGCCCGCGCUAUAUUGAUGAAACUGGCUUUUUCUUGGAUUGUCAGUUUUUCGAGUUUGCUGUUCAGUUUAAUGCAGAUGUUUUUGCGGUUGUGUUGUUUUGUAUCGUUGUGGUGAUGUGUGUGGUGGCGGGCCCAGACGGCUGGCUGGCUGAUGGGUGGCCUACCUCCCGAAGCCGUUUGAGAAAUGCACGUGGGCGAUGCAAAUGGGGGCAACGACUUGCAAAUGUACAGUACUGAGGUUGCCGUACGGUAGUUGAGUGACGUCGUACCCUAAGUCCGUUGGAUAGUUAAAAAGAGUGGAGAGCGAUGUGUAGGACAGAAGUAAAAAGACAGAAGAAUGGAUUGCUUAAAAAGCGAUACGAUGAUUAAAUAAUUUAGUUGGGCUCGGGCACACUAAAUUUCCGCACGGGUAACGAUUUGGAGAAGAAGGGUAGAAGGGAUAAAAGGAGGACAGAGAUAAGAAGGACCCGGAGAUUACAGGAUGUGAAGUGCGAAGGGGAUUAUGGAUGGAUGGCUUGAAGAGGCGCCUCCUCCUCGUUCGCCCCCAGAAGCGGUUUCCCUUCUCGCCCCCACCGCUUCUCUUCUCCUCUUCCUCUUCUCCCGCGUCCCUCCCGUUAUCCAGAUGUAGAUAAUACGACCUGAUGACGACAUGAUGAUGAUGGCUCCCCUCCCCUCCACAACGCAAAGAACAACAGGAGAAGCCAAAGCGCUGUGGGAUGGCACAUGGAAUAUGAACCGUCUCGGGCGCGGUGUGGGUCAGUGGUGUCUGAUGUGGGUCGUUUUUGGUGUUUUGGGGGGCUGAGGGGGUAUUUUUGGGGGAUGGGGGGUUCCCCGGGAAAAGAGGGAAUACCACCAUCGAGUCGGGUUCCGAACUCCAACUCCCUCCAGCCAGCUGUUUGUUCGUCCGUUGGCCGGCCGUUCAGUGACUUCUUUCAGGGGCUAGAGCGACACCGAGCACAUCUCGGCCUGUGGCCUGGCCGCACAUUGGGCAGGCGAAGCGCCGGUGGCAUCCUCGCCGUCAUGUAGUCGUGUUGGUAAUAGUAGUAGUAGUAUUAUAUUGUAGGACGGAGUAGUUUGCGCUCUGAUGCCGCAUUCCUGUUUUUCCUUUUGUGCCAUCACCGCAAAGUCCUCUUUUACUUGGGCAGCAUUUGGAAAACAUAUCGAUGAUUCGCUUCGCUGUGGUUAUAGAAUAGAAGAAUAAAAUAGUGUUAGGUAGCUGCCUAGCUGGGGCGCGCUGCGUAUGCCAAGAUUGCAGUAUAUACGAUUUCCUGUCCGUGUUCUCCGUCAGCCUUUGCGGGGGAUUAAUGUACGUGUGUGUGUGCGUGUCCGUGUGUGUGUGUAUGUGUGUGUGCGUGUGUGUAUGCGUGUAUCUGUGUGUGUGCGUGUGUGUGUUUCUCCUUAUCGGUUGUAGCACUCUGCUUUGAGGUUCUGGUGGAUCAGGUAAAGGCGUCUGGUCCACAGCUGCUAAAGCCGCAGGCGCGACCAUAUCCCGGUGGCCGGCUGAUGUCACCUGUUCGACCCCAACUGCGGCCAACAUGCGUGUACAUCAUCGCCAGCCACAAGAGCACCGUUAAUGCAGCGCCACGCACGCGCAGAUAUGCACAGCGGCGGAAGGCACCGUAUUACUUUGUAUACGGCAUCGGGUACGGCGUGUUCCCGCUGUGUAUGUGCACAGUGUACACAGGAGUUUGGAAGGGGCCGGAAGCGGUGGCCAUGAAACAUUUUCUUGGGGAAUGGCUGCGGGGGAAGGGGAGGGCGGGAGGGAAAGGGGAAGGGAUGCGGUCGACUGGGUGCACUGGGUGUCUCAGGCCGUUGGGGGGACUUCAUUCACAUGCGGCGGCCGCUUUGGUGAUGCCACGGUGUUCACCUGUUAGGUUCUAAGUUGAUUGGAGUGUGGGAGGUGUGUGAUGUUUUGUUGAACUGUCGUCUUUGGGUGCCUUGGCCUGCGCCUUGGCCGGCGUGUACUUCACGGCCUGCUCGAGAAAGCGGGUCGGCGUGUGCCGGUGAGGAUGGAUUUCGUGUUUGGUGUUGCGGUUUCCUCAAAAUCCUUUUCUAUUUUGCUCAUGUUGUGUGGUGUUGUUGCAUUGCUUUUCCUUUUCGUGCCGUGGACCCCGUUCCAGCUCGUGAAUUUGCGGCGUCGGUAUAUGUAUAUAUACAUGAAUGUAUAAAGAGUAUGGAUUCUGGGUGUGUGCGUGCGUGCCUGCUGUGCGCGUGCAUAUAGUAGAAAUAGCACCCACCAAAAGCACCCACCACAUGGCUGGUGUAUUCUUUUUUUUCGUACGGGGUCCACAUUACACACAAUCGCAGACACAUACACGCAUAUGCAUACGCACAUAUGCGUCAAACGCCUCACUUAAACAGCGUAUGACAACAUCCGCGUCCCCUCAUUUUGAGGGGUAUUUAAAAAACAUUUUCGGUGCAUGGAAAAGGAAAGCCCAGAGCCACUCCAUGGCUUCCUGGGCUGCGCAGAGGGGAACAGCAGCAGCAGCACCACCACCACCACCAUGGCAGUGAAGCUACGGCCGGGGGGGGAGAAAGAGGGGGAGAAAGAGGGGGAGAAAGAGGGGGAGAAAGAGGGGGAGAAGGCGCACGCGCGCAGCUAUCGGUUCGCCCGUCCCUCGUCUCUUGACCAUUUUCAUCAUUUUGGUCGCUACCGCGUCAAUACCCCCCGAAAUGGAAGCACGGGGACCCAGCUGGCGUUGCCGUACAUGAAUUAUGAAUGGAAUGAAGGGCAGACGCAAGGUGGUCGUAGUGGACGGUCAUGCGUGGCUCUCGCUCCGGAGCCCAUUUUGACACGUUGGCCGUUGCGAGAGCCGGUUCCAACCCCACUUCACCGUCUUCGCGUGUCAUGGUGCGCCCCUGCUCCUUUUCUUCCCCCUCCUUCUCCUUCUCCACUAUUUCCUGCUGCUCGCGCUGCUAUCUUGACGUGGCUGCAAAAUUCGAGAUUCGAGAGGCAAGCAACAAGAAAUAAUGUGUGUUGUUCUGCAGCGCUGCAGCUUGCAAAAAUUUAUGGCUGGCGUUGGCUGUCGUGAUGGAGACCUCACAGCCCACGGGGUUGGGGGAAAAGGAUCCGUGGUGGGGCUCUUAUGAGUCCACGAAAGAAAGGCGCACUCGGAGUCCCUGGCAGUAAGCACUGUAAGUAGGAAAGGAGGCGAGUAAUGCGCACAGAGAGGCGUGCUCGUUACCUUGUAAUGAGGUUGUAACCUUGUUAAAAGGUACAAGUUCCCGCGCAAGAGGGACGGCCUUCCUAAGAGCAGGUGAGAGGGACCAUGCACAAUCGUUUGUGAGUGAGCAUUUCGGCGCCGAGUGAGGGUUUUACCGACUGGCAAGGAGCGACCCGCGGGUCAUAUGACGGCAAGCCUGGCCUGUCAAAGCCGCUGCGACCUCGGUUGACAGCCUUGGGGUCCGCAGCCUUGCCUCCGGUCCGAGGCCAAGGCAAAACGAUGGACAAGCAGACAGGCAAACACAAGCACUGCGCACUCCAAAGACGCCUAAAGCCUUAAAAGCUAGCUUUCUCUCUUUUUGAACCUUCAAGAUGAGUAAGCUUUGACCUCGGCAGAAAUGUACCCAUGUGGCAUCCACGCUCACUCACUCACUCACACACUCACACUCACUCACUCACAUUGCCUCGCCUCUAGGACUAAGGUCACAGGUCCCCAGGGCUAGCUAGGAAUCGCUCCGCACCUCGACGCUUACACACUUCUACACAUAACAUAGCACAUCCUCCUGCGGGCGGGCGAGACGGGCGGUCCCGGGCCGCAUUAAGUUGAUUAAGUUGAACAUCGCGAGGGAGCUACGUUCCUGGACCCCUCGCUGCUAUGCCGCAAUAAACCGGGGGGUAAUGACCAAGCCGCUGCCAAGCCGCUGCCUACGCGCCAUCUAGGCUAAGUCAGGCGCAGCAGUAGCGACAUCGGCACCGGCACCACCCCCGAUCCGCAAAAGCCCGAUCGGUAAAUCGGUCGGCCUGCCGCGGGCGCGCGCGGUUGCAACAGCACAUCCGGAUCCAAGGUUUGCCGCUGGUUGUAGACCAGCCAGACACCACAGCACAGUCGCAGAGCCUCUCCCCAGCCACCCAGCCACACCACCCACCGUGCCACGAGCACCAUCCAGAAUCCCAUGUCCCCUGCCGGGACCUGCCCACCUUGACAGGCGCAACCUCUCUCUCCCUGCUUAAACAGGAGGGAGGAGGAGGGAGGAGGAGGGAGGAGGAGGGAGAAAGAGGAAAGACGCCGCCACCGGGGCAGACAGAGUAGAGACCUCUUGAGAUUCAAACGUGUAUUUGAGGCGCCGAACGGGCUUCCAAAAUCGAUCCGUGGAAUCCAGGAUCCAUCCAGGAAGUACGGGGCAUCAAACGGAGCAUGAGCAGGCAGUUCUGUGAGAGAAUCCGUGAGUUGUAUGGCAGCGACGAAGCGUCAGACUGCAUCGUCCGUUUCUACCUGUCGCCGUACGAGCCCAUCCUCGGAGGUGACUCAGACGACUGUGAUGACGGCGACGGUGACGGUGGACGUUGCGAUGGAUAUGAGGAGAUGGGUGGUCGGGGCGGCGGUGAUAGCGGCGGCGGCGCCGCUGCUGCUGCAGCGGCGGCCGUGAUUACGGCGGCGCCGCCACUGUUGCCGCCGCCAUCCGCCGUUCGUUUCGUGGGCCAGCCGCUGCCAGCUCACAGUUUGGUGUUGUGGGCCAGCUCAGAGCGAUUUAGGGCUCAGUUGGAUCGCUGGCGGGGCGGCGGCAGCGGAGACGCUGGCGACGGCAGCGACGACGGCGUCGGCUGCUGCUGCUGCUGCGGCGGCGGCGGCGGCGCCAGCAGCUGCAGACAUGUAGCGGCAACGGUGACAAGACCGCGGGCAGGGCCUCAGGAAGUGUGCGACAACCAACAGCACCAAACGAACGGACGGGAGCGGUUUGGUGGGCAACUGUGUGUACGGCAACCACAGGUGUCGCACCAUAAUAGACUUGAGCUCUGCAUUCCGCUCGGAUGUAAGGAGGACCUGUACGGCAAUCUGGCGGCGCUUCAGUACAUGUACACGGGAGAGCUGCGGGGAUGCGGCGGCGGCGGCGGCGCCGCCGCUGCAGCUGGCUUCAGCGUGGCCGAACUUUUGGCUAUCCGGAGUCAAGCGACUUACCUCCAGGUGGGACGUCGUAACAACGCAAGGCCCAUCUGAGCAUCCCGGGUUACGCCUUUGCUGUGUUACAAACGUGCUGACAAUACCUCCCCUUCCAUCCUCCCCCUCCCCCCCGACACCUUUCGCUGGUGUAUUCAAAGUAGCAACGGGUUGUUGCUGGGGAGAACAAACCGCAACGGGUCGCAAUGAGCUCUGAGAACUCCGUUGCGCUGCGUUUCCGCCCCUGCCGCCCAGGUCGAAGGCUGUGCUGAGGCAUGUGACCGGGAGCUGCUCCACCUGUUGACGGAGCUGGCGCCUCCUUCGAGCACCAACGCUGCCAGCGGCUCCCAGGCUCAAGGGGCUGCUCAAAGCUCCGGCGGCGGAAGCAGCGUCAGCAUCAGCGGAGGUGGCAGUGGCGGGACCAGUGGCGGCUGUACAUCCUUUAACGGCCGAGCCGCCGCCGCCGCCAUCGGUGUGAUCUUGGGGGGCCCCGGUGCAGCAGUCAGCGCAAUCGGCGGUGGUAGGGAUAAUGUACGGGCGUACGGCCGCAGCGGCGGCGGUAAUGGGGGAGUCGACAGCGUUGAAGCUUCGGCCGCUGCCGCCGCUGCAGCUAUCCGGGAAGGCGUCGUACCUGUGCUGCAAUUCGCGGAGCGUUGCCCUGCCGCCGCCGCCGCCGCCAGCUUUGUGCAGGUCGUCGAUGCCUGCCGCCGGCACCUCGUGUCGCACUUCUCCGAAGUGAUAACCAUACUCAACUCGCCGUCUCUGCGACGCCAGCUUGCGGCGCUACCCUCGUGUGCGCUGGAGCUGUUGCUUGGUUGUAGCAGCCUUCGGGCCGAUAGCGAGGCGAGUGUGCUACAGCUCCUGGCGGUAUGGCUGGCCGCAAAUCCCUCGACUCCGCCGUCACGUUGUACGGCACUAUGCCGUCGAAUUCGCGCAGCGCACUUGGGUCGGACGUACCUGGCGUUUGUGCUUCCGUGCGUCGACUGGUGGCCCAUGGGACAUAGGCAGCAGUUGCGCACACUGCACCUCGCCUCCGCCACGGCGGCGGAACGCCGUGCACUGUCGGAGCUGGCGGCUGCGGCGGUUGCGUCCGCGGCGGUGGCGGCGAUAGCGGUAGCGGCACCAGUGGACGAUUGCCAUUAUGAGGCGGCGGCGGAAGUGGACAAGACGAAGGGGGACGACGGCGGCGGCGACGCCGACGCUUGGAGCUGCGCGUCGCCGCGCGACCCCAGCAACACCGUUCACAUGUUCCGAUGGAAUCUUCCGCGUAAGGCCCUCAUAGAUGCCAUUUGCAGCGGCGGCGACGCCGCCGUAACGUUUGACGGCGGUAUGGAGGCCGUGUCAUUUGGUGGUUUUGAGUGGAGCGUGUUUGUAAAGCCGCCGAGGAGCGACGGCUGCAGCGGCGGUGACGGGGAUGAUGGCAGUGGAGAGGGCAGCAGUGGUGGCAGCAUCUUAGCCGCCGCCGCUGCCGCCACUGGCGCUGGCGGCAGACGCGCGUGUACCGCAGCCGCCGGAGUGUAUCUAAUCUGCAGCGUGCCGGCGGAAGUUGAGAAUGGUUAUCAGUGCGCGGAGGCCCCGGGCUCAGGGGGCUUCAGCGCAAAAGCCGCUCCCGCCGACGGCGGCGGCGGCGGCAUUGUCGGUGGUGGCGGCUUGGCAGGUGCCCAGGUUCGACGCCUUACCCGGAAGCGGAUCUCUGGCAUCACGUCCGUUCCGUCCGCGUGCAUCGAGGUCUUUCGCGGACGGUCUCUCCCGGCGCAACACGCGGCACAAAUGGCGCCGCCGCAGUGGCGGCGGCGGCCCGUAACGGCGCUGGCGGCCGCCUACAGAGGCGGAGGCUCCACCGCCGCCGCCACAGCUGCCGCCGCCCGCAGCGCGAUCUGGGGUUCCUUGCUGGCGGAGCUGUCAGACCCAGACUCACCGAGGGCAGCGGCAGCAACGCUGCCGCCGCCGCCGCUGCGCCUUCAUCCCGUGAACGGCAACGGCGGCGGCGGCCCGGAGGUGGCGGCUGUGGUCAAGUUUGGACCAAACGAGGUGUUCAAAUUUGGACCGAGUGCUCCGGGCCGGGGCAUCUGCGACGUGUUGGCACUGCGCAGUCGGGAACGCGAUGCCGGGCAUGCCACCGAACUGUCACGGAGUGUUCGCGGCGGCGGCGGCGGCGGCGGUAAUGCUGCUGAUGGCGGUGGCAGUGUAUCCGGUUGGGGCAGUGGUGGCGGCGGCGGCCGCGGCUGCGGCGGCGGCACCACCACCCUCCGAUCGACGACGGCAUCGGCAUCGGCAGCCGACCUCGAGGACCUCCGAAACCACCAGCUGGCGGCGUGGCUGCCGUAUCUGCAUCCCCUGGAGGCCUUUGACGACGGCACGGCAGGAGGCGGCCUGGCGGGAACGCUGACACUGCGGUCGCGCUGAGUCCAUAUUCACCAGUACCGACUCGCUUAGAUCCAGUGUGGGUGCCGCUGUUUUUGUCUCUGUCUGUCUGUUUGUCUGGGAGAUUGAUGGCAAGCGUGGUGGUGUUUGGAUGCUAACUGCUCGGCUGGAGGCUGGUGAGGUGGGAGACGGUGUUGGCGAGGAAAAGGGGGGAGAGCGGGACGCAGGGGUGUAACUGGAAGUCCAUCUGCACUGCCGUACACCUACGAGAAGGUUGCAACUUUGAGUCUGCCGGUGUGCCGCGGAUAAGCGCGACGGGAUCACUACUGGUAUGGCAUGGUAUUAAGGGGGGGAAAAGAGGGGAUUUAAACGACUGUGUACGGAGAGGACAUUGAGUGUAGGGGUGAGUAGGACGAGCAAGAUCCAGGUUAUCUCCCCAGCCAGGCUAAUGAAUCCAGGUUUGGAAUACUGUACGGUGGAUCGUACGGGGUUGAUUUCAAAGGAAGGGAUGGCUGGCACAUCUCGACACUCGUCACUCGACAUGUACGGCGGUUCGGAGAGAUUGGAAGACACGUGUUGCCCUCGUGCGAUGCACGAGGCCCGGUUUGACGCGUGCUGAAAUGUGUUAAGUUGAUUGUUAGUUAAUUAAUACCCCUUUCCAUGUGUCGGUGUGAACAUGCACGUAUGUGUGUGGGCACACAUACACAUAUGGUCUCAUGUGUAUGGGCUAACACUCAACUUUGGACCAUAUGUGCCUGUGUGUGUGUGUGUGUGUGUGUCAAGCCAAAGUCAACACUACCAGGAGCUUCGUUUUGGUGUCGACACCAGGCGAUUGGGUGUUCGGAAGGCCGUUCAGAAGCCGUUUGCCGUUAGACGGUGUAGUCCGCCCUGCCAUCAUGGCGCGGUGCGGUGUGGUGUGUGGGGGGGGGGUCCGUAGGUUUGGUGUUUGGGUUUUGAAGCCAACAGGGGGCGAUACGGGGGGGGGGAAAUGUUGUGCGUCACCAGACAUAGGAGUGGUGGACGUAUCCUGACGGCGGCGGCGCCCAACAGUCCAGUACAAACCAAGGAACCAAGGACUGGCCAACUGCUGCGCUGUUAUGUAUAGACACAGAAUGAGUACGUGUGAAUGUACGGAACCCUAAGUUAAUGAAUGACUGAAUGAUCGUGACACAGAGCGGAUGGUUUCUGGGCCAUUUUGCAAGUGAAUAUUUAUUGGUCUGAAUACCACCAUCACCACAGAGCAUCAUAUACCAAUCACCGCAAGGAACGGCACCAUACGAAAGGAAAAAGGAAAAAAGAUCCAAAACGGUUUCGGAUCCUGUCUUCUAGGAUCCAUCCUCAUCCAGUCACCCGAACAUCCGCCAGAGAGACAGAGGGUUCAGCAAAAGCCACCAACUCAGCGUGGCGGUUCAGCUUCCGUUUACUAACAAGGCAUGAUGCGAGCAUAUCGAUCUUUGAGGGCUCCCCUCUCCUCUCCUCUCCUCCCACCGUUCCCCCGACGACGAUGAGACGUCCUAAACUAAACGAGCAACCCUAAGUUUACUGCGUGCUUUACUAAUUAUUACAGUUUGCAUUUUUAGCCUGCAAUAAGUACCCUACUGCAAUAGUCCACGGAGAACCAGGCACAGGAAAUCCGAAUACAUGGUGUCCUGAGAAAAGGUCACUUCAAGAAAUGUAACACAGAAAGAGAGGAACUGCGUCCAAGAGGGCCAGUUAUGGCGAUAAAAAAAUAAAUUGCGCAUCGAUCGGGGACAGAAUUAAUUGCCUUGUACAUUCCAUGAUACCCUUUUCUCAGCAGCACCGCACGUCACAACUGUGGCCCCUUUUCUCUGUUUACAGAUGUGAAAAGGGUGUAUUUACCCUUCUAGCAGCGACCCCGCCUUAGCAGCGCAGGCGCAGGAGCCAACAACAGUGCUGGAAACACACCACCACACUGCUACAUGAGCUCCUCAUCCCUCUCUAUCCUCGCUGCGCAGUUUCAAGUAAAUGGAAUAUAUUAAAAACCAACCUUGCUUUGGAGGCCUCUUGUCGGCAUGGGCUUUCUAUAUCAACGCAUAAAAACCACAAGUAUACACACACAUACACAUACACACAUACACACACAUACACACACACAGACAGACACAGGAAUCUAUUUACACAAUAUUUGCCUUGUACGGGAGUACGGCUUCCCACAAAGCCAGGCGGGCUUUUCACCUAUAUAUAUGUGUGUGUGUUUAUUGAGCUGUAUGCGUGUGUGUGUGUGUUUGUGUGGAGCUGUAUGUAUGUGUGUGUGUAUGUGUGUUUGGAGGGCGCGGAAUGGAUCCGACAAUCCGACAAGGCGGGGGGGGCCCGGGCCCUCUUGCAUGGCCUCAGGUCAGCCGCCACCAGCGCCGCCUUAGCACAUCGCCCUUGAGCCCGUCCCGAGUACGAACCAUCUGCAAACCAGUAACAGCAAAAAAACAAUGAUAGCAGUGGUGGCAACUUCAGUGGCAGCAGUAGCAGCAGUAGCAGUGAUGACAGUAGGCGCGGCAGUAGUAACAGAAGUAGCAGUAGCAAUAACAGUAACAUUCUCGCAACAGCAGUCGCCGUGUUUAAUAAGAGUGUGUAUUGGUAAGAGUAGCGUGGCUGUAGCAAACUGACCUCCGACUCUGUGAAAAGCGUUUCACUGCCGUACAUUCCGUACAUUACGUUCCGUACAUUACAAGAGGCCGCUCACCUGUUUCGUAUUUCCAUUGUGCUCAUUCAUCCCGAAUUCUCCAGAUCCCUCACUGCCGUACAAAUUGGCCAGGUAAUUCUUGUCCUCGCCCUCGGCUACAACCACUCCGGCAAUCUGGCAGGAAGGAAUGGGUCGGUUAGAGGUAAAAGAGGAGGUGCCACAUCCAACAAUGAGGUUCAAAAUUUAGUUCGUGGGGAAGGAAGGGAAAUGGGGAUACCGCAGAAAACACCCUCACCGCCCUCAUCCUCUUCCCGGUGUAACAAACCCCCCCCAAAUCAGACGCCCCUACCCACGACACCGCCCCCACCCCUCAGCCAGGAACUGCCAUUCACCUUGAACUUGUGCUCCCCGCUGCUGGUCUCCGGGAGUAACUGUGGGGGAAAGGCGUGUGUGUAUGGACGGGGGAGGAGGGGGGAGGUGGGGCGGGGGGAACGGACUCAAGGGCGGGAAGGGGAGGGGGGCCCGGGGGAGUCAUGGGGAGGGCAUCCCCAUCCACCAGGCCAUCAUCAUCAUCAUCAUCAGUAGCAUCAGCAUCAUCAGCAGCAGCAGCAACAGCAGGAGGCACAGCAGCAGGAGGAGUGACAGCACAGCGAUUUCUCCCCUCCCCGACCCCCUUCCCCGUCUACCUGCACCUCCGCCCCACGCAAGGCCCCCCCCUCACCUCCACCUCCACGUCGCAGUGUUCUGACUGACUGACAUCCAGACGAAACACGUACAGCUGGGAGACCGGCCGGGAGAUGUGGGCGUCCUCCCUGUGCGGGUCGCACCGGCAGCCCGAAACACAUCUGGGCACGCGUGUGUUGGGGGGGGGUGGGGCCCGGUGCCGGGGGAACGAACCGGGGGUGAGGGGAGGUGUAAGCAAGGAUGCAAUGUACGAACCAGCCGUACAUUUUAGGCGGCUAUAACAGUAGGCAGGUUGCAACAGCAAGCAGCGCCUAUUAACCCNNNNNNNNNNNNNNNNNNNNNNNNNNNNNNNNNNNNNNNNNNNNNNNNNNNNNNNNNNNNNNNNNNNNNNNNNNNNNNNNNNNNNNNNNNNNNNNNNNNNNNNNNNNNNNNNNNNNNNNNNNNNNNNNNNNNNNNNNNNNNNNNNNNNNNNNNNNNNNNNNNNNNNNNNNNNNNNNNNNNNNNNNNNNNNNNNNNNNNNNNNNNNNNNNNNNNNNNNNNNNNNNNNNNNNNNNNNNNNNNNNNNNNNNNNNNNNNNNNNNNNNNNNNNNNNNNNNNNNNNNNNNNNNNNNNNNNNNNNNNNNNNNNNNNNNNNNNNNNNNNNNNNNNNNNNNNNGGAGAGGGGGGAAGCCGCACACAUAAGAAUAUGAAACAAUGUGAAAAAAGAAAAAAAGGACGACGGCGGGUGUGGCCGGUGCGGGUGUUUGGAUACGUUGGGACAUAAAGGCUGCCAUCAUCAUCAUCAUCAUCAGCAGCAGCAGCAGCAGCAGCAGCAGCAAGGGCAGUGGCAGCACAAAAGUGGAAGCAAAGGUUGCUCCGCGGCUGUGGCUGCGGCUGCGACUGCGCUGACAGAGGAGGAGGAGGAGGAGGGAGAGGAGGACCCUGUUCCCAGCUGAUCAAUCAAAUCCACAACACGUGGGGCACCUACUUGAAAUCCUCGUACAUGAUGCACAUGGGCACCUCGGGGACCUUGUUGCCUGUUUUGGAUCGCGACAAGUUUAAAUAAUAAUUUAAAGCUUGAAGUAGCGGUCAGGGGUCGGCGCCGAAGGUGGAAUGGAGGGACACACAGCUCGCGUGGGAAGCAGAGCACGACGGCGGUGGGCGGUGGGCGGAGGAUUGGGGUUGGGGUUGGGGUUGGGGGAAGGAGGAGGAUGGGGCCGCUGUUACUCUUACUGUGUAGCUCGCAAAACCCUACCAGCACCACCUCACCCACCCCGUCACACUGAUUUUAAUAUCACCUUCCUGCUGCUACUGCUACUGCUGCCCCCCCCUUGGUGCUACUGCCGCAGGCGCUCUGGUUUUCGUCUUCAGCCUUUGGUGGAACAGUAUACAAUAACAAUAUAGAGAGUCAUUUACACCCCCUAAGCCCGAGUAAGUUAACCUGUAGGUUUUACGGUUUUACGGUUUUACGGUUUUAGGGGUUUUGGGUUUUAUACCUGUGUGUGUGGAUGCCUAUUGGAGAGGCGGGCUGUGCCAGGAAGGAGGGAUGAUAGAACGAGUGAGGGGGCCCCCCUGACUAAGGGGCUUUACACCCCCCUCCCCUCCCUGGAGCACCCCCUGGUGCGGUCUCACACUCUUCGACUUUCUUAGCCUCUUGCAUUAUUGCAUGUAAAAAGGAAUGAAUUCAUCCAUGUGGACUGAGAAAAACCCUAAAACCCUCCCUCCCUUCUGCCCACAUCUCCCCCUAUCACCUCAUCUACCCAACCACCCGCAACCACCUCCAACCACCCACCGGGGUACAUCGGCUCCGGAAGGGGCUCCAGAACCGCCUCCUCGUCCUCUCGACCAAACGGCCGUAACAGCAACCCAAUGGCGGUCUGCGGUUAAUAACAACCAACCAACCCAACCAACCAUUUAACCGAUCAACUGUCCCAGCAGCAGAAAAGCGGUAUCAAAAAACCCCAAGUGCAGGUUGUGCGAGCGCCCCCACCCGGCCAUAUGACGGUAUUAGAGGCCUUUGGAGGCGGAUGGGAGGGAACAUCAACACACACACACACACACACACACACACACACCACGCUGGCCCAUGCUUCCAUCCCUCACCCUCGCCCUCGCCCUCGUGACCCACAUCCCCGGGGCACCCAAACCACCACCCCGCACUACACACACAUACACACACGCACACACGCACAAACACAGCCUUGGAAUCCCCCUUGGUUCGUAAAGGCGGGACCGCUAAUUGCUCGUACAAGCAGCGGAUGUAACACACACGCAGGCACACACACGCACACACAUACACGGCACUCGGCCCCUCUUCCCCAACCCCCUUGCCUGCUGUACGAGGUGUACGGCCAAAUCGGACAUGACACGAUGGCCCUGGUCGCCUGGAUGGAUGUCUGGAAGUUGGGAAAACGGUUGGGGAAGCGGUUGGGAUUGCAAACUUGCGGUUACGAUUUGCCGGGUGGGGUUGCGGGUUGCGGUUGGAUGGGUGGUGCCUUGGAUGCGACGAAGGUCCGGACGUUACAUUCGUUGUAUGGCCAACUGCCAACUACCAGAUAGUCGCGAAGAAACUCAAAGUACGAGCUUUUUCUUGAAAAGUCGUACAGGAGUACGAAUGUGCCUCCCGAUAUCCCCCACCCCCAGUUGGGCCCCCCCUGGAGGGGCACUCACCAAAAAAUGUCUGAUCCCACCUAAAGCCAUCAGUCUCCUUAAAUGCGGCAAGGCGAUACAGUGCCGUACGCACAGACAGCAUCUGCACAUCGUAGUACUGCGCGAUGGCGCCUGUACGGCAUUGGUCACAACGGGAGUUUGGCCAACCCCUCAGAUUGCGUUCCUCUUCACUUCUUCGUUCCCCACCAUGUCAUGCUGCACUGUUACUUGGCGGUAAAAUCGAUAACAAGAAGCUAGUUGCAACGAGAAGUUAGUUACAACGAUAAGUUAGUUGUAACGAUAAGUUAGUAGCAACGAUAAGUUAGUUGUAACGAUAAGAAGCAACGCUCAUUGCACUUCAAAGAACUAAAGACCUGAGCUCCAGUGACAGUGGCUCAGAGCAGUCAAGGCACACGGCAAGAGGACGAGCACACGGCAGCUGCGGGCGGGCGGGGGGGUCCGGGUAACCCGCGGCGGGCAAGGGGGGGGGGCGUCGGUCGAUACACACGGCCAGCACGCGGUCACACUCACCAUCCACGUCUUCUAGGGUUUCAUAGAAGCGUCUGUCCGCGACAGCGAGGUAGGUUGCGUGUGUAGGUAAGUAGGUAUGUAGGUAUGUGCGCGCGAGAGGGAAAGGGCCGGGCGUCAGACAAGAAAUGUACGCCUGUAUUCUGUCUGUCUGUAUGCAUGUAUAUACAUGCAUGUAUAUACGUAUGUAUAUAUUUACGUUUAACACUAUUACCCGCUCCAGGAAGAGGUGAAUAGGGGAAACAAUCCACAACAGAAAGUACGACAGUUUCGAGAAAAGGUCUUAAGCCGUACACAUUCCAGCCCUUCCACCCAGGCAUACACCAAAGCACAACCUGGCACCGGCAAACCCCCCCCCGGGGGGGAAGAAAAGGCACCCAAUCCUCAACACCCGCAACCCUGUUACCACCACACACACACACACACACACUCACACCACACACACUCACUCACUCUCAUUCAUUCAUUCACCCCCCCCGCCCCCCAAAUCCAAACCUCCUCCUCCCCUCCGAAACCCACUUGUAUAUAUCCCCCGGGUGCCGCGGGUGGCCUGGCGGGUAUGACGCCAUGCCGUGUGUCGGCGAGUGCAUGAGAACCACCGCAGGCCGCCGCGGCAGUGCUAAGAGCCGCCGUACAAGUCGCUCCAUGUCCUGUGCUCCGGAAGGGAUAGGGGCAAAGGGGGGGUGGGUGGGAAACGGGGGCGAGAUGGGGAGGAUGGGGGCCGGGGGGCCGGGAAGUGUUAGAAGUGUCUAUGUGGGUGUGUUGGCUUCCUUCCAACACCGACCGCGCAAGGGGCGAGCUGUCUGGGGCUGUGAGUGCCGCUUUGGCAGGCGGGGGGAGCGAAAGAGCAACCACCUCCCAACCACCUCCCAACCACCUGCCGACAACCUGUCGACAACCCCACCACGCCACCAGCCACAACAACCAAGCACGCACACACACACACAUACACACACACACAUACACACACACAUACACACACAAACACACACACAGAGACACACUCCUCCAACGGCCCUCCCGACCCCACUAAACCCACCCGAACUCGAUCGUUCUCAACGGAGGCAAUGUACCCAUCAUUGAGGGUGAACUCUAUGAACACCAGCUCGACGUCCUUGUGGUCCACGGACUGCUCCAGACACAGACUGACAUGCAGGACGACAGACACCGGCCGGCGGAAGUGGGGUUGGGGAGCGAACAAAACCCAAAUCACGUGCCAAUUUACAAUUUACAAAUCCGGCUGCGGGAGAUAUACAUACUGAAAUACAGCAGAGGCAUCAUCACACCUAAGAGGCCAGGAAGGCUGUAGAUACGCGGACAGACGCAGAAUACCAACCGGCUGGAGUGGAGGGGUAUAUGCGGGAGAUGGGAGGUACGAGGGGAAAUCAUAUGCAAGGAAACAAAUCAUAAACAAGGAAUGAAAUGAAUGAUCUGGCGGCGUGCUAAGUCCAAAACUGGUGCGGGGGACGCGGGGGGUAGGGAGGGACUCUGGGGGGGGGGCUGCUCAGCGAGCCCACAGGCCCAGCAAAGACAUAAACCCCACUCACUUGCGACAGACAUACACGUGUACACACACGUGCACGUAUAAACAUACAUACACACUUACAUCAUGUAUGCACUAGGCACUCCUGGCACGCAGCCGUUACGUGCGGUGAUGUUGGCUCGGGGGAAGGCCUCGAUCUGCGGCCAAGAGGGUUGGAGGUUGGGGGUUGGGGGUUGGGGGUUGGGGGUUGGGCGCUACUGAGGUGGGGGGUUGUAACCCCCACCCCGGGGUGGGGGUUAGGGGGACGUGGUGCGGUGCAGCGCGGUGUGCGGCGUGCGGUACUAUUGAGAUGGUGAGGGGGUGGCAUGGGUGAGGGGGUGGUGAUGCAGUGGUGGUUUGCGUUCUCAUUGCGUCGAGGGGCAAUGGGGGAUGUGGAUGCGCGGAAGGCAGCGAGUGCGCAGCGGGUCGAAUGGCAGCCUAGCCCUGGCAAUAGCCCUAGCCCUAGUGCAGCUGGCGGUGGCGGCGGCGGUCGUGCGGUGCGUGGGGGUGCUCUCUGCCUUAUAACCCCCUCCUUUCCCCCAUUGCAAGGUCACGGGUGAUCAGGGGCGCACACACACACACACACGCACACACGCAGCAGCCCCUGGCCAGUGUCAGGCCCGGAUCAAUAUGUAACAAAUACACAAACACACAAAUACACGCACACACGCACCCCGAACCCGAGGUGGUGGUGGUGGUGGUGGUGGUACGUACCAUCCACUUGGAGAAGUGGCUGAACCAGUCAGUUUCCCCGCGCCUGCUGACCCCCUGACCCCAGCUUAUACUACACGGUAGGAGGGGAGGGGGGUGGGGGAAAGAGGUAAGGAGCACGCGGGGGAUAGGAGAUGGUGCACAAUCGUAGGUAGCCUUUGGGGGUUGACAGUUCACAGGUAGCCUUUGGGGGUUGACAGUUCACAGGUAGCCUUUGGGGGUUGACAGUUCACAAGUUAGAUGUCGGUGAAAGGUGGGGUACCGAGAAGGGCUCCUUCCCCUUAAUGAAAACGAGUUACUGAGCGCUUGGCGAAGCCCUGGCAUUCAGGUGUGGUGGGGUGGUUCGGGGUGACGGGGGUGGUGUGGGCGCGGGAGGGAGGGGGGAGGGCGCAGUGGUCAUCUCGUGAAGCAAGCAAACGCGCAAUCUACUACUUGCCUGCCGCCGACGAUGCCGACGUGCACAUCGUGGCCGGCAACCAAUCGGCCAAUGACGUGCCGCAAACGUGAAGAAGCACCGCGAUAGGUUAUUCCUCUUUCAAGCUGGGUUACCGGCAGUAUGAACUGAUACGACUUGAACAUUGACGAGAAUAUACUCGUCAAGGGCUGCGACCCGAUCGACACGCUUGAGUACGUGUGUCCCCAGUCCCACUGCAAAUCCGUGCGUAUAGCAGUUCGCUCUAAACUGUUUUCCCAUAAAGCCAGCACCUGGCAGGACUGCGCGAUCAAAAUAAACACCGUAGUAACUGGAAAAAGCUGCAGCAACUUCCCGAGCAUUUUAGUUUGGGAGCUAAUAUGUCAUAACUAUUCCACGCAUAACUAUCUUAACCAGAGAUAAAACGCGAGAGCCUUUCCAAUUUGCGACACGGGUUAAAGCUAUGCGACAAAGUAGGAAAAUCCUUUUGGUCGCCUGGAUUAGCAAGUUACACCAGUUUUAAGUUUUUGUUGUCAAGGAAAAGAAUUGAUAAAAUGCCGUCAAGUUACACCUUUCCAACAAAGUACUCAAUCUUUCAACAAGUUCAAGUGCAUUAGCUCCACCAGCUCCAUUCCAUGUUGUACGAAAUCCAUACAUCGCUGGCCGGGGCGUAGCACAUUUCUAAUGUCUACGGCAGUCUACGGGACGAGCAACGGCAUCGGAAGUAGUUUCCGCCGUUACUGCGCCUAUAGAAAUGGGCCUAUUAGAUCAAUUUCUGUAUACUUAGCGCUAUCUGACGCGUGGUGGAAUAACGCUUCUGGCAGGUUUCAUUAUAAAUAUGAAAUUAAGGAAUUAUUCCUAAUUUCGAGCCACCACCCCUGCAACGCGAUGCCCAAGAAGCAAAUACUACGAUGCAGAUGAAAGUUACGUAGAGGACCACAUAGAUCGUUGCUGAUGGGUGGGCGCUAACGUUGCUCGCAUCUUUUACAAGUGCGCAGCCCCGAGAAGUCCAAUCCCCCAGCAAAGUGCCCAAACAUUUAACCUCAUGUUGUGUCAAAAACAGGAAUUGCGAAAGCUCCCUUAUCUUGUUAAGCAACUACACGGCUCUGCUUAGACGGUAUCUUCUGCUUCAGUUGCUAGAGCAGAACUAGGCUUCCGUCACCCUGCAACUAUGAAGGCAAUAUGAUUGGGCUCAUCACCAUCAUACGAACUCCUUUGUUAGCAUGGGAUCCACGCCGUACUGUUUCUUCAAGUGACAAACUGCCUGUAAUCGUCAAAGCUCCUUAUCGCAAUGUUGCCAUACAUUAAGAGGAUUAUCACUACCUGGCCAGAGGUGAACAAUGGCUUCACUUUCCGUGAUUUUAUUAAGUCCAAGCACGCUGGCCUGGCGCUGCUGCAGUUUUACAUCACGUUACAUCCAGCCUCAGGGAACUGCGAAGAGUAAGCUUAAAACUGCAAAUCCUUCAAACUCUGCGCGAGAACCUCGUUUCUUUUUGCUGGGUUCCCGGCGCCGUUCUGCCGUACCUCUAGCACAACGUCCUGCAACCUUUCCUUAUGGCGGGGCCCUGCAGAUGGACCUCAAGAAUCGUCGGGGGCCAGGUUGCCAUUAACGGGUCAACUGUGUUAGAACCUGACCACGUCCUCAGGUCGGUUUGGCAGCAGCAGUGACGCAAGCUGCACCUGGCUGCACAUCCCAUAUGGCCAGCAUGCAUUGGAAGCAACCGCGUCUUAUUCGUCCGCAACGCCACAAGCAGAGCCUCCGGUUGCACGUUUGGCGCCAUCAAGCUAUCUAUCUAGAUCUAUUGCCAGGCAGGCCAUUUUUCAAAAUACAAAAUUCAAACACAAACACGAAGAGAUCAGCGAAAGCGUCCUGUUGGGGCCCCAAUUCUGUUCGCCGGAAGAACCAUCGUUGCGAAACUGAGCCUGUAAUGGCCCGCAUGUGUGUCCUUCACCAUUUUCGGCUGCAACCGCACCCGCACCCGCUACCCGACCAAGGAUCAAGAGACCGAGACUGGCCCAAACUACCAAUACAAACAUCUCUGCUCUUUUCAUAGUUGCAUUCUGUGGCUUGGAUCGUCUCGCAGGGUUGGCGAUGUUGUGUCGUACACACGGCGGCCAUGGCGGGAGCCGCCGAGUCCGAGCUACGUGGACGUGCUGUACGAGGAUGACGACGUCGUGCGUACGAUUGUUAACUGCGAUUGUUAACCAAAGUCGUAAUCACCAAAAGUUGAUUUUGUUUGCGGGCCGCAUCUGAUUUUUACCUUUCUCUCCCCCUCAAACAUGGACACGCACACACGUACACACACACACACACACGUACACCCCUCAACACACUCGUUCGUGCAUCCCUCAGGUCGCGCUCUGCAAGCCCGCUGGUCUGCAAGUGCUGCCCGCAGCCAUGUUGCACCAACGCACCGUCCUGACCCUGCUACAGCACCACUACGGCAACCCACCGGUCGCAAACAAAGACGUAAACGCACCGGCUGCAACUCUAGCUGUAGCUGUAGCAGCAGCACCACCGCCAGCAGCCCCGGGCGGCAACAACUCCCCUGAGACUGAUGAGCCGCCGGCUCCGGCUGAAACCACCGCGGACCAUUCCCAGCAUAGACAUAGAGAAGCCCCGCCGCCUUCCCCCUUGCACCAGCAAUCCAAACAUGCUCGACAGGGACAGCGACAGGGACAGCAGCGGCCUGUGCCGGGGAUGCCCGAGGGAACGCGGGCCUGUGUGGCUGUGGCUCCCGUGCACCGACUGGGUCGAGGCACCUCCGGUACGUGUGGCUGGCUGGAUGUGGGGGGAAGGAGUAGUGGGUGAGUGGCGAUUGCAGAGGAGAGGCCUUGGGUCUUGGGCGCGGGGCUGGGACCAUCGUGGAGUGUUUUUUUGCCUCUUCACGCCGCGCCGCCGCUGUGCGCACUUACGACAGUCCACUCCACUCCACUCCUCUCCACACCGCGCCACAUCUGCCCUGUCCGCAGCGCGUCUCCCCGUUGUGUGAUGUCAUCUUCUGUGAUGUCCGGGUGUGCGCGCACAGUGUGCGGAGUGGCUUGCGUGCUGAGCAUGCAUCACACAACGGGGAGACGUGCUGCGGACAGGGCAGAUGUGGAGCGGUGUGGAGUGGAGUGGAGUGGAGUGGAGUGGCUUGCGUGCUAAAGACAUCACACACAUCAAGCCACUCCGCACCCUGUGCGCGCACUCUCGGGCACGACGGGGUCUCUAAAUGCGUUCGUUCGUUCGUGCGCGUCUGUCUGUAAGUCUGUACGUAUGUAUGUAUGUGUGUUUCUGCGGUCCCUUACCACCAACACGUGGCACCUCGCUUGUUUGUCUGUCAUCGCAACACACAGGUCUGCUGUUGUGUGCACGCACCACACACGCCAGGCAGCGGCUAACCGAACUAAUGAGCGGCAAAACCGCCGCCGCCGCUGCAGCAGCAGCAGCGGCAACGGCGGGCACUGAAGCAAGGGGGUUGGUGGCGGCAGCACAACUCGGGGGCGAGGACGGCGGCAGAGCCUCGUCAUUAGGCUCUGAAACCACCGUGCCGCGGCCUCCCCCGCCGCCGCCGCCGCCACCGUUGCGGAAGAUCUACCGGUCCCUAGUGCAGGGUAUUGUGGCGGAGGAUGAGGUAGGUGAGUGGCGGGUGGUGAGCCCCAACGCCUCCGCAACCCUGCCGUGUCCUUCCCAAACCCUCUUUACCCGUCCUCCCCCCCCUCCUUGCUGGCGGCCCCCCGCAGGGCCGUGUGGAUGUGCCCAUAGGGCCCGUCCAGUACCCGGGGGUUGACGGGGGCCUCUUCGCUGCCACACCGGGGGGCAAACCCGCUGCCAGCAUCUGGAGAGUCCUGGAGCGCCGACCCGGGGGGGGCAGGAGUCGGCAGUCCCCUCCUCCGCCUCCAGCUGCUGCUGCUGCUGCUGCUGCUGCUGGGGUCGCUGUCGCGGCUGCUGAGCUAGAUCUUGGAGGGGGGCCCGCUGUAGCAGAGGCAGUGGCAGAGGCAGUGGCAGGCGAGGGAGGGCCACAGCGGGUAGAGGAGCAGCAGUUGCAAGGCCAGCAGCAGCAGCAGUUGCAACGGGCUGGGGAGGCAGCAGCGGCUGCAGCGGCUGCAGCGCGGACGGUGGUGGAGGAGGACCAGGGGGACCCGGGACAUACACUUAUGGAGGUACGUCGUCAGUACACACACACACACACACACACACACACACACACACACACACACACACACACACACACACGCACCCAGACGUCGAUGUGACAGGUCAGAGAGCACGCAGGGCUGUAGACCAGGAUCACCCUGGCGCACCGCUUCCUUGUUUCGGGUUCGAAGUGCUGCGUGCUGACGCGCGUGUGUGUAUGUGCGUGUGUGUGCUCUAUCGUGCUUCGCACACCUCCGCGCACAAAGUACCUUCACAGCAAUGGAGGGGCUGUUUGUCGAUGUGAGCCGCCCGCAGACCGCCCGCAGACCGAGGCACUCCGUAACCGACUGAUGUGUUUGUUUUAGGCGCUUUGUGUUGCGAGUGCGAGAUUGCCGGUCAGCGCUUUGGCGUGAUGAUGUUGUGGAUCUUCCUCAGUGGUGGAUUUGGAUUUUUUCAUCUAAGCACUAUUUUUGGAUCUACGUGUAAUUUUUGGAUCUACGUGUAAUUUCUGGAUCUACGUGUAAUUUUUGGAUCUACGUGUAUAUAAUUAUUCAGGUGGAGAUUCUGACAGGUCGACCGCAUCAAAUCCGAAUCCAUAUGGCUGCAAUGGGCCAUCCACUCGUUGGAGAUCCACUGUACGGCAUCGGUGGCCUUCCCCGGGUAUGUCGUACACUGGGGCCGGCACGGGGAUCGAUGUCUCCUUUUUUGGAUCUCCUGGGAUGUCCCGACCUCUUAAGGGGUGAACGGGAAGGCAUCGUGACGUCAUCGUGGCAUGCCGCAACACCCACAAUAUUAACCCCAGUAUUGCAACAACAACACCGGCGCCACCAUAGCGCCAGCAUCAACGUAACGUGGACACCACACACUGUGUAACACAAUCUCCAGCUCCAUCAUCACCUCCGCCUCGUCAACGCGUCUAUCUUCCCUCACUCACUCCCUCGCUCACUCCACGCAUUCUCGCCCGCCCGCCCAGCAGGCCGGCCUAGACCUUGCCGUACUGGAGGAGACGGAGUCAGGUGCUGCAUCCAACCCCAAGUCCUCUGAUCUCCGCGACGGUGCUUUCGGAAGGCCAGGUGCGUGUAUAAAUGUGUGAUAGUGUGUGUGUGUGUGUGAGAGAGAGAGAGAGAGUGUGUGUGUGUGAGAGUGUGUGUGUGUGUACUGACCCGCUUGUUUCUUAUGGUGUCCAUCUCCUGGAGGCGUCACGUGCCAGGACCAGGACCAGGGGAACCCGUAAUAAUCUCUCAACCUCUAUCCCCUUCAAUAUUGCAGCUUAGUUCAGGCUGAGGCUUACCUUAUCAUACAAUAAAUAUGUUAUAUAUAUGUUAUAUAUAAUAUAUACAACAUAUUUAUUGUAUGAUGGCGUUCCUCUCGCUCGGGUGUACACUUACGUGUAUGUAUGUAUGUGCCAUCCCCCGGGGCUUGCUGGGCUACACAGGGUUUGGCGUUAUGUAUGUCAUCAGAUCGUUCAUUACCCCCGAGCCACAGUUCACAGGCUGCAGAGGACUUCACUCGUUAACUUCUGGAUCACAUGCCCAUUCUGUAUUCCGGAGCAAUCUUAGACCCCUCCAAACACACCCCCAUCACAAACACACCCAUUCCAUCCACACGAAUUUUGUUUCUUGUGACGAAGAUUCACACACCAGACUGCCCGCCUGUCAUUCAUCCACGUUGCCGUGUCCACCUCGGCCCGUCCCCGCCCGCACUCGCCGUGCUAUGCAGGGGACUGCGGCUAUCAUUUGCAUGCUCUGGAGCUCCACCUGCCCCACCCAACAACCACUAGCCACAUGCUGCUGCUCAGGGCGCCCCCACCCUCGCUGCUCAUGACAGCCGAGGAAAUGGAGGAGGAGAUGGUGGUCAAGGUGGAGCACCGGUUUGAGCUAUAGAAUGAUGGUUGUUGUGUUGGAAGUGGUCGUGGCAAAGUGGUCGUGGCAAGUGGUCGUGGCAAGUGGUGGGGCAGGCGGCACCUGCGGGCGCAUGGUGGAUACUGCCACAGUUUUUGUGUGGCCAGGCAAGUUAAGACUGGGUGUUAGAGCAGCGCAGAGUGGGCCGCUGAUAGCUGGUGGCAGUCCAGAUGCCUGUGGCGGUUGCGGCAUUAAUGAUUCAGAUCAACGGUGUCAACGGUGUGCUGAGAGUUAGUUGACCCUUGGUGAAGAGUUGCGUCGUCGUUGCUGUGUAGUUGGCUAGUUCUGAUUGAUCGACACAUUCUGUGCUGGUGACAAGUACGUGGGGUUGGAUGAUGGCUAAGCUCCUAGGCAGACUGAAGUCAGUGUGUGAUAAUUGGAGUCACGUAAUAUGAUGUGUGGGACAGGGGGGGCAUACCUUCACCCUGUGGCCGCCACCCGGCAGACCCUGCCUUCACCGGUAUUUCGGGGCACCCGCAUCCAGUCACCCUAGCUAACUUUUCAGUGGAUCGCUCAGGUUCAGCACCCACCACCGACAUCCAACGGAAUCCGCCGGAUCAACGGUGGCGGCUCAACUCCAUUCCUGGUCGGCUCGCAGGUCAACUUUAUCUCAGGUCACCACCGUCCAUCGACUAGGGGCACUUUUACCUCCCACCAUCGGAAGGAUUUUUCGACCUUGACCGGCCUCGAUAACACAUGUUAUAAUAUAUAUGUCGCCUGGUGUGACAUAGGGUGCUUGGAGAGGUGGGGCAAUCCGAUGGUGCAAACCGGCCGUCGGGCACCGGACCAACCGCUGUGCAUCGGCGCUGGCCAUGCGCACGACGUCCCGAUGCAAAAUCCGGAACCACAGCCUGACCACGUUGCAUGUGCAACAAAUGUCUGAGCCAACUUCCUAACUGUUGAGAGAGCCGACGAUUGGCAUGCCAUACCCUACAUGCGGCGAAAUCAAACGAAUCUCCCACAUACACAUCUCGAACUAUAACCAUAAGCAUGUACACCGACCCUGGCUUUUCCCUUCAGAACCCGCUGAUUGCUAUAGGGUUAAGAGCAGCGCCUUGCUCCGCCUUCCUGGAGCCUUCUUGGGUUCGGGACCAUCAUCCAUCGCCCUAGCAGGUGCCGAUGUCCGUCAUGUGGCGCUGUGGGGCCUCCCCACCUUCUCCCCUUCCCAUGCGUUGCCUUUAUUUUGAGCUGAGAUGGAGCCUCCUUUCCAAGGGGCUUCCACGCUUAAUGAAAAGCCUUUGCUUGAUUCCGGUUGGGGACUGAGCUUGGCCUGCACAGAGAAUAAUGCUAAGUCCUACCAUACAUACGUACCUCCACAUAUGUACAUACUUACAUACACCGAUACACAUUUACACAGAUACACAUACACGCAGAUGCAUGUACGUACUUAGCCACCAUGCGCUCUUUUAUCAUCGUUUACAUGAGGCAGAGACACAGGGUCGCGCGCCCCCGGACGAGCAGGAGGGGACCGUGGCCCCUCAGGCCCCUCUCUCUCUUCCCGCUAGGGGGAGAGUGCUUCGGCGGUCGCUCCUUCCCACUGGGGUACGGUUAGGUGCCCAUGGCCAGCGUCAGGCCCGGAUCGAUGUGUAACAGAAAACACACACAUACACUUACACACGCGUGACGGAGCCUUGACUUGUGAGAGCGUACGCGCGUGCGACGCCUCCUCCCACCCCCCGGGGGAGGAGAGCGGAGCUAGCGGACCUGCGGCUCUCGGCUGCUUAGGAGGGGGCAGAGGCCCCCCUCGCGCUCCUCUCCCGUCCGCGGGCGAGAGCUUAGGCGGUCUUUCCGUUGGGGCUGGGCAGCAGCCCCUGGCCAGUGUCAGGCCCGGUCAGAUACUUGUCACGUUCGCACACAUGUACACAUGCACAGAUACACAUACACAUACGCACAGAUGCACAUGUACACAUGUUACACGCACACACAGAUACACUUCUGCUGCGGCAACACUGACGAUGUACAACUCCAGGCGCCAACAACCGGAACCCACGGCGAGAGAGUACAACCAUUCCCUCGACAAACAAAACCCGACACCACUUCCCCCGACACCACUUCUCGAUGAUCCCCUUCCCACUCGAAGUCAUGCGCGCUACUAUUGCCCCACUGUGCGACCCCCAAGCGCCCUAAGAGCAGCAACAACAACAACAAUGGGUGCACCACUCGCCGCGUGGAGGUGGAUGGGCUUCCGUUAGAGGUCCGUGGUGGGCCAGCCGCCUGGAUUACCUCUUAACCCCCCUCUACCCCCCCCCGCCCAAAAUAAGUCCAACAGAUUACAGGGCGGCCCAUUCCCGGGCAGGCAGGCGGACAGGCGGGCAGCCGGGUGGGUGAGUAGGUGGACAUCUAAAACGGCUCAGACCCGGCUGAAGGACACGAAUCAACUCUCCUACGGAUUAACACACGAUGGCAAUAACUUCGGCAGGCAACUACGUCCUCCUCCCCACAGAUGGUAGCGUUGGCAGACACCGUACAGCAUCGUACCUCGUAGUGUGUACACUCCAGCAGCAGAUACGGGACAGCCCAGCCCCCUAGUCGCAUUAAAAGCUCCCGACCUCACAGCAGCGUACACAUGCACGCACGCCCCUUUGAUACACUCACACGUCUGUACAUCAUCCAGAAAGGCCCGUGCAUGGGUCGUAAUAUCCUCCACUAGCAGCAGCAGCAGCAGCAGCAGCAGCAGCAGCAGAGCACCCAGUGUGGGUGUGAUGUGUGAUGUGUGAUUUUAAUCGUCCCGUGCAUGGCCCUAUCCUCACAGCCCGUUGCCUCAUUACGCCACCACUACCAGCUAAGCCAUUCUAUAUAUGGCGUCCCUACCAGUGCUGGCACUGCAUCCAGCACCGUUUCCUGCCCCGACAGUUCUGAUGUUUUAUCCCACCAGGCGGGCCAUGUGGUGAUGAUCUGUUAUGUGUGUAUCGGUGAUGGCACGGGCGAGAUAGCCGACCCUCGGGUCGCUCAAUACACAGGUUCACUGUCAUCUAGGGCACAGCCCCCUAAAAUGCACGGCUAAAGACCCCCGAUCCGAUCCUGCCUGACCCGAUCCUGCUCCAGGAUCAAGCAAAACUACACGGGUUGGCACAAUACUUCGUGCAGCAGGCAGUGCAUCACCUCCUUGUGGGCGAUAAUAACGGCUCAUAACGUACCAAAAUAACAUUUGAAACUUCAGAUGUGAAGUCGAAAAUCUCAUCCUGAUUCAGUCGCUGCGUCUAAUGCCCCUGGGUAAGGCAGCCAGCGAUAAAAGAUGAAAUAUAAGUCCGUGAUGUGGCCUUGUCUUAGUCAUGAUGUAUUGAUGCUGCGUCGUACAGGCCAGGGGCGUGUUGGAGUAGUUGGUUUCUCUAGGAGAUGAGCAUGCGUCCAUCACCUUUGCUCAAUCCUUAAACCCAUACCGCCGCCAAUAUGUUUGAUCCAUAUAUGUGCACAUAUAUGAGAUAUACAAUGUAUACGUGUGUGUAACAUAUGGGAUAUGCGCACAUUAGGCAUAACAUUACAGGCUCGACUCACGGCUAAACAGCUUCAUUUAUGCCAACUUGAUUUAGUAUACCUAUAGUAGUAAUAUGUAGUGCGGGCAACCAAAAUUGUCAUGCAAGCUGCAGUGCGAGGCCGCGCGCGUGUCGCCAUAAAAAGCAUAGGCCGCGACUACCUUUCCUGCCGACCUCCCUGCCUGUCUGCCCAGCGCAAGCCGCAUUCCUCCGACGCCUCUGCCUGCCGCUUCUUCCGGGCUUCACAUAGGCCUUCGUGGUCCUUCGUUUUUCCCGACACACACCACACACAUAGUCGGUCUGCCCUCCGUUCACAUCCUCCCCCCCGGCAUUAGCUGCCUGCCCGCCGGUGGGGGCCGGGUGGUGGUGGAGGUGGCUGGAUUUGGAAUCCAUAUAAAUUACCCAAAUGAAGACAUCUACCAACGAAUUCAGUCAACUCAGCAUCCAUUAGAACAGCGCGGCUCCCAAUGCCAGUCCCUGCAUUGCCUGAGUACGCGUUUCACUACGUAUAAGCGUAUGUAUAUAAUACAUGUGCAGUGCAGGUCACAGACAUUACCAAAGCAUGAAGGAGGGGGAGGGCGCAUGAAGGCUCCAGGGCGCGUGGAGAACACGUAACACCAACGUAACACCAACUCUUUGGCCCGACCAGCAGGUCUCAAAACGGCAGAGACGCAGAGAACUUCGGACACAUCGGAGCAACAACAACAACUAUAAACAUGGACCGCCUCAAAUGGGGGAGGGAGGCUCGUGUUGUCCCUUCCCUCGCCGCUUCUUCAGCUUCUUCCUGUGGGUAGCCGCAUGCCGAAAAAUACACAAGACUGCGCUACCCCAAAGUUUGGAUUGAUUGGGUUUCAGCACCAGGGAAAACUGGCGCCGCAAAUCGGUUCCGGGUACAAGUUCAUGCACCAUGAAGUCCUCAUCGAAAUCAGGGGCAACAUAAAAGCAACCCCAUAAAACAUUAAUCUGACAAGCUAUAAAACCACAAAACCAUAAAACAUAGCAUCCGAACUCGGUCUAGAUUCGCGCAACGGCGCCACCUGCUGAAGCCGCUAAUAAGAAAGCGGAUAAUCAAUUAUGAAGGUCUAAACAUAAUGUUCAUCCUUCCCGUACUUCCUUUUUUUCCCCCAUCCUUCGACACCUUGCAUCAUUCAGUCACGGAUAAAAACUGCAUCGCCAUUAAUCUUAGCUAAUUGUAAAAAUUGAGCAUCCAUCGCGCAUGAUGAUAUUCUUCCGGCGUUAAUUGGAGGCAUAACGGCAAAUGCCAGUCAAGCACCGGCCGCUGGCCUCACCAUCCGCCGAUCAGCAUCCCCCCACACUUUUUUACCACUUUGACACACCCAACCAAAACCAGAGAUACUCUCGACCUCUGGUUUCAUAAUCCAUUACCAUACUCUCGCCAUAUCCGCGGCUUCCAUGGCCACAUGGGGCAUCCUUUGCUCUUUUACGGCCUACCGGAGCCCUCCGAGACAGACCCAAACUUUGCACAGUCACACAAUCACAUACUCUGAAUCUUCCUCCCAUACUCCUCCCCUACAGGCGUACAAACGCCGCACCUGCUCUAAUGGAAUGUUUUGUCAGCCCAGGGGCUCAUUUCCGCUACCGCUGCCGCGCCCGGCCAGCAACGCGGCCCCGCCGCCAGCACCGCCCAUCCCGUCAUUUCCCCCGGCGGCACCCCACACCGCUUUCGCGAUGCUCAGUGGCCCCGCCAUAAGGCCCCUCCCCAGUCCCACCAUUAAUAGGCCGUUCGCCAAUAGUCCGUAAAAUGUCCGGCCGCCGCUCAUAGGUACAGCCCCAGCAGCCGCUGCAGCUGUUGCCCCUGCAGGGGCUCCUCCACAUCCCCCGCCCACUCGAAGGUGCGCAUGGAUCCCUUGCCCUUGAUCGCCGUCAAGCCCAAGUCCCGCCACGGCUCGCUCGGCAGACGCUCCCGUGUGGCGGCGCUUACGUGGAUGCUGCCAGGUCGGCAGGUGGACUCCAUGCGACUGGCCACGUUCUGCAGGGACACCAGACAAGGAAGCAGGGAGAGAAACAAGAGAAGCAUAGAAGGGAACAGGGAGCAAUCGCUUUGGCUAUAUUCUUUUCGCUGCCUGCUGUGACCCAUGGGUCGGUCUCUGUCAUGAAACCAAAGUUGACCGACGAAAAGGUCGAAAGCCGCCGAAUGUGUUGGUGGUGAUCUAGCAAACGGUUUGACAGCGUCCACGGUGUUUUUACCCCUGGCCGAGUAAACUUUUUCAUUCCAAAAAGAGAAGCAAAUCGCUUCGCACCAAGGCUAUUCAUUUCCGAAAAGCAGCGAGUCGGGGGACGGUGGUGUUCCCAAGGAGCGAAAGGUCCGCGGGCGGGGGGCAGCUCGCGGGGGCCGGUGGAGAAGAGGCGGUGAGGAAACACGAGGGAGGACGGAUGCGGUAACGGGAACGGGGGCUGCAAUCAGGCUGAACUCAGGCGGAAUGGGGAAGCGCUGCAACCAAAGGGCUCUGGGGUGCGUCGCACCAAAGGGGGGGGAUCGUUCCCCGUCAGCCGAGCCCCCGUCAGCCAGUCCCCUCUGCCCUCUCCCCUCUGCCCUCUCCCCUCCCUCUCCCCUCCCUCUCCCCUCCCUCUCCCCUCCUUCCUCCCCUUUCCCCCUCUCCCCCCUCCCCCACUCACCACCGUGUCCCCAAACAAACAGAACCUGGGCAUGGUGUCCCCCACCACCCCGCUGGUCACCGGACCGCUGUGCAGACCCACACGCAACUGAACCGGUUGGCCGUUGUGCGGCAAACGAACGUCCCGGGACACGCGGAGUAUCGCCUGGGUCGCGUGUGUGUAUGUGCGUAUGUAUGCGUGUGUACACGUGCGCGUGUUUUGCGUUUUGCACGGGGGAGAAGGGGAAGGAGAGAGAGGGGGGAACGAGGUGUCGGCAGGGGCUCCCGGGGGACUAGAAAGAGGUACACUGAGGAUUAUGGUUUGGAAUGUGGUUAUGGAUGUCCUGUGGUUGUGGAUGGCCAUCAUGGUCGUACAUAUGAGGCCCAUAUGAGGCGCACUUUGCAUUUGUUCAUUUUUCACGUGUGCUAUGUGUUGGUGCUGACCCUUGGCAAGGUUUACGACUGAUUAAUGGCCCUAUAGCCUGUCCAGCCGCCACAGGGCGACGGCAAUGUGUGUGUGUGUUUGUGUGUGUGUGUGUUUGUGUGUGUGUGUGUGUGUGUUUGUGUGUGUGUGUGUUUGUAUGUUUGUGUGUGUGUGUUUGUGUGUGUGUGUGUGUUUGUGUUUGUGUGUGUGUUUGUGUUUGUGUUUGUGUGUGUUUGUGUGUGUGUGUGUGUUUGUGUGUGUGUGUGUGUUUGUGUUUGUGUGUGUGUGUGUUUGUGUGUGUGUGUGUGUUUGUGUGUGUGUUUGUGUGUGUUUGUGUGUGUUUGUGUGUGUUUGUGUGUGUUUGUGUGUGUUUGUGUGUGUAUGUGUGUAUGUGUGUGUGCGCACACACGUGGCUGUGGUGUCAGCAGCACCUCCCCGGCCCACCUUGGCGAACUCCAUGGUUCGUACGGCAUGUAGCGGAUCCUCCGCACCGCUGAUGACGGACUUGUACCCGUCUUCGUCGUACGCCACCAACCCGCCGGCCACCAUGUAACAGUCUUGCGACAAAGCGGGAGGACGGAUGGGGAUGGGGCGAGGGCAGAAAAGGGGCAGUUAGUUGGCAUCAACGGUCGUAACAACCUGGUUGGUUAAAAUUAACGAACCCGAUGGACCGAUAGACCGAUGGCAACAACUCCACCUCUAGUGUACGGCACAAGUGCAACACGUGGAGGUGAAGCGGUACUGACGUCAGCAGCAGGCAGAGGCACCUGCGCUGAGCACACAGAGAGAGGCUGACUAGGGAACCAAACCACCAGAACUAACGGAAAACGGACAUCAGCGGUUGUGCAGGGUCAGCAAGGCGAGCAGCAAGGGCACAAACAUGCCGUGUGAGGUCGCGUCACGUCACUUCAAUGUACGGCACACCUACCUCCAAUUGUUUCCACUUUAUAGACUUUGUAGAUAUCCACAAGGCCGUCGAAUCUGCUGUACAGGUCGUUGAGGAAGGUCAUGACUGUGAAGGGGCUGGCGGAGUGGCACAUGGUAGUGAAGCCCACGAUAUCUGGACCACCGGCGUGUGAGGGGGGGGGGAAAGGGGGGGGACACAAAGCAAGUGCACACACACACACACACUGCUUGUUGUAACCUUUUGAUUUUGCUCUCUUUUUAUUAGUAGCAGAUUCCUCUUCUUGCUCCCUUGUUCUGGCAAGUUGUUUUAAUAACAAUCGCCCCGCGGGUAAGAUGGAUCCACUCAUGGCGGCGGCGGCGUCUGUAUACCUCCUCCUCCUCCUCCUCCAUGCGCUGCGUGCGGGGCACUAAACCCCUAGGGAGGAAAGCCCUGAUCGGCGAUCAGGCCGUGCGCUUCCCCCCCCCCCUCGUCCCCUUUCCCCCUGCCCCUUCCCCCGCCCGGGGGAUCUCCUCUUCCCGGCUCUCUCCCCCCUCUACACACACAUACACACAUACACACACAAGCACCCCCGGCUUCGGAGAGACGCCCCACCCCCACCCCCACCCAGUGUUUUUUUUUUAAGUAAUAUAUUACUUUUAAGGAAUAAAGAGGCCUUUUUGGCCUUUGGAAAUAAGGAACAAAGUGAGGCCGAUCCGUACAUUUUCAUUCCUUCAGCCAAAAACGUCCAUUGCUGCCAGAUUGCUCCGUAGUGUGCAGAACUUAGUAUUAUCGAUCAUAAAAUAGAUAUGAGGGGCCGUAAGAAGGUCAAGCCCGUGAGUCAACGCGGCAUAGCAGAAUGUAUGACCGGUCCUUCCAUAGACAAACACGCAAAAGGCAACGACUUGAACGCCGAACAAACACAAAAACAGCAAGAUAAGUCUGAAAUUUUUCCUGAUAAAGGCGUUUGNNNNNNNNNNNNNNNNNNNNNNNNNNNNNNNNNNNNNNNNNNNNNNNNNNNNNNNNNNNNNNNNNNNNNNNNNNNNNNNNNNNNNNNNNNNNNNNNNNNNNNNNNNNNNNNNNNNNNNNNNNNNNNNNNNNNNNNNNNNNNNNNNNNNNNNNNNNNNNNNNCUAAAUGAAAAAAAAAUCACUGCCCCCACCCCACCGCAGAACAGCACAGUGACACACGUGUGCGCUGUCGCUAGCGACGCCAGUCGCGUGGCCUUGUCACCGUACGACACCAGCGGUGGCGGCGCCGCCGCCGGGUCGCCUCCCUCGCCUCCGGCGGCGCUUGCUGCUGGAAAGGAAAGGCCUGGGCUAGCGUCGCGACCGGGGGCGACUCCGCCGCUACCGCCCAUGGCGGUACUGCUUGUGACCGCGGCCGGGGGCGACUCCGGGGCUCCUGAAGGGUAUCCGGUCCCCCUUGUAAGAUACUCAAUGCAAUGACGUGGAAAGAUGCUCUCCAGCACCUAACAUGCACGUCGGAGGGUUGGAAGCGAGUUCAGGAUGCUAUUGACAUAAAUAAUAAUAUUGAAGGAAGUAUUGGGAUGGCAUUUUUGUGGGCAUCAUUUUGACGUACGGCAACAACAGUUUGCCUGUCUGUAGUUCUGGUUCUUAGGGUUUGAACUCUGGUGGGAAGAUUGGGGCAAUUGAUGGCGGUCGACGUCGCGCCAUUCGCCCCGUUGGACGGGAAGCUGUCCUUGCCCUCCAAUCAAUGGACUUCGACCUCAACACGAUGUCGUGCCGUACGGCACGGUAUAGUACGGUGUUGUACACAACCUGUUUGUUGGGAACCGUACUGUCUGUCUAGUGGAACUUCCACACGAACACGUUGAUUGGACACUCCAAAAGGCAUACGCACGUACAGACAAACAUACAGACAAACAUACAUACAGACAAACAUACAACACGCAACAACACGCGCCCUGCCGGUGCGCUCCCUCCAAGCACCUUGUGCUCCUUCUGCAGCAACCUGGCCAUGGGCUGGUGCUCCAAGAGGUGAUCCGUCACGUCCACUUGCGACACGACGAACAACCGGCCGCCGCCGCCGCCGCCGCCGCCGUCAUCAGCUGCAGCUCCGCUCAUGUGUGUCGUACCCUGAAGGUUUCUUAUUCCGCCGCCGCCGCCGCCACCUUCUAUGCUCUGGAUUUGGAUUUUAUGCCAGACAGUUGCUUCCAUCGUAGCGUCGGCGCUAAGUAGGGCAGUGGCGGUGGGAAAAUACGCGUUCAACUCGGGAACGACGGGGGUAACGCCGGCGGUGGCGGCGACGGUGGCGGUGGCGGUGGCGGUGGCGGUGGCGGAAGCGGCGGCGCUCGUCAAUCCACCCCGCCCUGAAGCCCCUCCCGCCAGAGCGCUCUCGCAGCUGUCCAAAUCGCUGGAGGCUGUACAGCGCGCCAGGGACGCGGCUGCCGCGCCGACGCCGACGCUCUUGCCGGCGCCCGUCAACGGCUGCGUUGCCGUCGUGGCGGCAGCCGUCGUUGUCCGCUGGAGCUCAUGGAAAGUGGAAAGGUGUGAGGAUAACUGCCGGGAGGGACCCUGACGCUUGAUGGCGCCGCCGCCGCCGCCGCCGCCGCCGCCGCCGCCGCCGCCAGCAUGCAGGUCGCCACGCGGUGGCAACAUCGCUAUUGUUGUGCCGCCGCUGCAGCAGCGGCUAUGUGCGGGGCUAGACAGCGGCCGCUCGAUUUCCCCUAUCUGGCCCUGAAUAUGGCGUUGCUGCUGCUGCGGCGGCUGGUUUUGUUUGUGUGCGCCGUACUGCGCCUGCUGGUGCUGGUGCUGAUGCUGGUGCUCUAGGUGAUGCUGCGGGUGAUGCUGCGCUGGCGUGGGUUCGUUCACAAAGCUGGACAUCAGCUGCCGCAGCCGAGCAUGGGUGCUUGCCCGCUGAGGCGGCUUACGAUAAGGCUGGCGGAGAGGCGAGCGCUGCUGCUGUGACAGUGACUGCGGCUGUGGCUGCGGCUGUGUUACUGGCGACGGCGGCUGCGCGGCCGGUGGGCACCUCUGGCUCUGCCUUUUCGUUUGGCUAAGAGACGGGCUGCUUGACGGCGGGCUUUCACCUAGCGGCGAGCCUGUUGAGGGGGAUCCGCCGCCUCUGCUGCGGGCCCUGCUGGCCUGGAAGCAAAUGGACGCGCUGCUGACGCAACGCCGGGGAACGACGUGGUGCGGUAUGCGGUAUGAAGGAUAAGGCCGCAGCUCCGGAGCCGCCGCUGCCGCCGGCAGCAUCGCCGCGUAUGGUGGCGGCGGGAGAGCCGGCGGCUGCGUUUGGGACGCGGCAACCUCUACAGCGGCGGCGGCAGCGGCAGAAGCAACAGCGGCAGGAGGUGAAAGUGAGGCGCCCGUCGCAAGUCGCUUCUUGUUAUGGGUGGUGUCUUUGGAAGCAGCGGCACGGCCUCCAGCGGAGGUGGCGGACCCGGCGGCCGCGGCGUCCAUGCCAGCCGCCUGCUCGGAGUUGCACGUCACGAAUUCAUUGGCCAUGCAGCCACAGCCGCUACCGCCGCCGCUACCGCCGCCGCCGCCGCCGCCGCUACCGCCGCCGCCGCUAUUAGCCACGAGCACCGGCACGGGCGGUGACAGCUCGAUAACUUCAUUCCUAGGUCUGCAUAUCGGCAGGCCAGCCCACGCAGCGUCCUCUGCGGCGGCAGAGGAAACGACGGCGUCAGCCGCAACGCCGCUGCCGCCGCCGCCGCCGCCUUUGGCAGGGGCGGCGGCAGCCGGUGACCCAAGGGUCGGCUCCCCUUGCAACGCCGCAGGCCUCCACAAACCCAAGCUUGCCUCCGGCAUCGCCUCAUGGAACGCUCUCGUGCUAACGCCGCCGCCGCCGCCGCCGGAGGCGGUGGCGGAAGUCGCGGCGCCAGUGCCAACGACGCCGCCACCGCCGUCGCGCGCGAGAACCGGAACCGUCACCGCAUCUACGGAUUCCAUUUCACUGAAGGUAGUGGCCGCGGUGGACAGCAAAUAACAAUCGGGAGGUGCGACGGCAGCGCUGCCCGUGGAGCCUGUGAUGGUUUCGAAGGCCUUGCCGGAGUCCAGGCCACAACAACCCAGAGUGCUGCCGUGCGCUGAGAGUAGAACGGGAAGGCACGCUCCGGAACCAUGGCGCGGUUGGGCGGCCUGCGGCGGUGACGCAGCGUCGACACUGCUGCCAUCGGCGGCAUCGGUGGCGGCGAUGGUGGCCGCCACUGAUGCAGUAGUAGGUGUGAAGUGGCUAGGCGCUACGCCAACUUUGUCAUGGUCAACGACCCGUGGGUCGGUCAACGCCGAGGGGCCUGAUGGAGGCGGCUCAUUGGAGUGAGCGUUAUGGCUCACCUGCCAUCCACAGUCAUUGGCCCUGCAGCCGCCGCCACCGCCACCACAGCCAGGACGCCGAAUGCGAGCGAUGUCACUGUCUAGAAAGUAACCUGGACUUCUGCUGACGGCGCCGACGGGGCCGGGCCCUGGAAUAAUCACAUCCGCCAUUGUGUCCCUGCUUGCAUGUGACAGGGAUUGAACCGCCGACUUGGGGCCCAACAGGCUGCGUGGCCGUGGGAUAACGGUGCCCGCCUGUGUGAAGUCAGGUAGCGCCGCGCCAUGCAGCAGCGAUACAGCACGACGUGCCGCCUCCCCACCGGAAGCUUCAUCCGGAGCGGUGUUACAGCGUCCCAGAGGUGUAGCAGUAGCAUGACCGUCGACCUCUGUUGUUUCGGCUGUAGCUGCGUCUGCGGCAGAUGCGAUUGCUGCCGUGGUUGCUGCAGCCACAUCAGUCGGAGGCGACGACGUCAGCGACAACCAUGACGGCGGCGGCGAAAACACGUCAGACACCUCGGUGUACGGCAGCUCCGGGGCAGUAUUUGAGGGCGACGCCGGCGACGCCGCCCGAUCGUCCGAAUGAUCCUUCACCACCCCUGCCGCUGCCGCUGCCGUACCUGGCCGGCGGGACGAAGACCGCCGCACAGCACCAAGGGCUGGCGGCAACAUGCCGCCGGGCAGCAUGCUGACAGUACGCCGCGGUGCUGUACGGCGCCUGGAGCUAGCAGUCGCCGCCGCCGCCGCCCCCAGCAGCCGCUGCAGCGUCCCCGACGGCGGCGAGAUCCAAUGCAAUGGCGUGGCGCAGCUAGAGGAUGGCGGCAGCAGGCCUCUGCGAGUCUCCAGCGGCAUCAUAGCCGAGUACGGCAUUGUGGGCAGGGCGCCGUGGCCGGCGGCGGUGACGGCGGCUGUAGCGGCGGAAUUGUUUUCCGCAGCCUGCGGCAGCAGCGCGCUCCUUUGCAGCCAGCGAGAAAUGCUGCAAUGAGGGCGGGAUCGCGUCGUCAAUGCGAGGCCGUCGGCGUCGACGUCGCAAGCGCUCCCGGCAGCGCCAGGGGCGCUCAGCACGCCCUGCUGGUAGCUUGAUGGCAGCGACUCCGCCAUUCGCGGCUGAUCAUUCGGUGCCGUACUCAUGAAUUGCAGCACCGUCAUGGGCUGGGUGGCUGAGGAAGGGGAGCUCUGCAAGCGCUCCCAAGGCGCGGCUCCCCUCGUAGCUGUGGCGUCGCUGGCGGUGGCGGCGGCAGCGGCGGCGGCACUGCUACCGCCGCUGCCGCCGCCACCAUCAGGUCCGCCCCGGAGCACCUCCUCCCUGAGCGCCAACUUUACAGAACUGUUGCCGCCGUACGGCAGCGGUGACUGUGUUCCCGGCUGCUCCAAAUGUUCCAUAGAAGCUACAGCUACAGCUACAGCUGCUGUUGCCGCUACUGCCGACGUGGCUACAUCUGCGACCUUGCAGGCCAGUGGCGCUAUGUGAGGUGAUGAAGGCACGCGGCGCGGGCUGGAGUCCCAUCGAGCCGGGAAGCUGCUGGCGGGGUAGCUGGCGGAAGGGGAAGCGCAGCCGCCGCUGCCGCCGCAACCAUGGGCCGUGACGGCAGCGUCGGCGGCAGAGGACACGUUACUGACUGCAGCAGCAGGUCUGUCUGCUCCGCGGUCCAUGCGCCGCUCAGGUGGUACCUGCUGCGUGCGGAAGAUGCCGCUAUCCGGAUAUGACAGCACGGGACCGCACCUGCGGUGUGCUAGGCUGCGGUUGCUGCCAGCAGCAGCACCACUACCACCACCACCGCCACCGCCGCUGCCACCGGCCCCGUCGCUGCCGUCGGCCGGCUCUAGCGCGGCCAGGAGUAACCUGCGCAGUCAGACGGACCGACGGGUCGGCCACGGGGGUGCAGGGGGACCCAAUUCGUUUGGAAAAGGCACGCGCCGUGGCUUCUCGAUCCGAAACGCUGCUGCUCCUGCUGCGGCGGCCGCAGCCGCUGCUGUAGCUCCAAAAAGCUAAGAUCAUAAACCGGCACCGGCACCGGCACCGGCACCGUUGAAAACACACAUAGGUGCCUGGAUCCAUUGUCCGGGAUUCAUCCGGAUCAGUUCCCUCUUGGAAAUUAAAUCCCGACAUCUUCCCGGCGUUUCCAAAGGUAACACUGCUAGUAUGUCCGCGUACGCGGCCCAUAAGGGCCCCUUCAAGCACAGAACAUGAAACAUGGAUCACCUUACAAACGUAAAGCUGUCCUUAUCAGCAUGUUGGGAUCUAUAUUAGGAGUUCUUGUCUUAGCCCCGCCACGCCGACAAGUGCAGAGAUGCAAAAACCUGGAUGCCUCUCUAAAUCCCGGCACCCUCACCCUAAUACCUGUCGACAUGAUCGAUGAGAGGGGAGGACAACUUCCAGCUCCCAUCCCCGCCUGACGGCAGGCCCCGGCUGCUUUCGCCUCCGACACUCGUGUAGUGACUAAUGCCAGCAGCCGCAGCCGCAGCCGCAGCCGCAGCAGCAGCCCAGCAGCACCCUGCAACCCCAUCUCCGCCGCCGCCGCCGCCGCCGCCGCCGCCACCUCCCGGCCCGCUCCCUCCCGCUGCCAGCUCGUCCAGAGGACCCAGACGACCCGGCAGUCUCACAACGGCUGAAAAGCUCUGCAGAUAACAACACGAGGGGGUGGUUGCAUGUAUGCACUGCAUGUAUGCGCAUGCAUGCACAAGCGGGACUUGUAACUUGUAACUUGUAACUUGUGUGCACAAGCGGGGUGAGAAAGAAGCCCGCUCGACGGUCUCUUGUUUCCAGGCGAGUACCAGGAGCUGAGGGCUCUCUGCUGCUGCCGCCGACAUGGAAACCCAACAGGAGCCAUAGGCCAAACAAAUGCAUAACUGUGCGGUGCAUGCAUUUGCCCAUGCGACCCACGAGCCACGUCUUCGUGCAUCAGGCAGUUGACGGGGACGCUCUAACUGGCAAAGCAGUCAAACCCUCCAAAGACCCCACUCAGCAACUCUGAGCGCCGUUAGUCGGGGAGGCGCCUCACUUGACCGCAGUUCAUCGCCUGGAGGGCCUGAUCCAGCAGCGGCUCAGAUGCCGCUGGCCCCUGCUGCCGCCAUGCGGACGCGUCAUUGCAGGCCGUGUUGGGGCCUCCGCUGCUGUUGCCUCCUAGCAGUGCCCACAGGACAACUGCCGCACCAAGCCCCCGAAUGUCGCCAAAAUAUGCCUGCAUGGGAGACCGCCAGGCCGGGGGGAACCGCGGUAAUACGGGCCGCGAUACGCGCGGAAGAAAAUUUGGGCCGCAGGGCGGGCCCGAUUCAGAAUGGAGUGGGCGGCACGGCGAGGGGCAGGCGGCGCCACUUAGUCGAUGGAGGAGGCGGCGGAGGCGGUGCAGGGCGUAGGUUGCGAGGCGGUACGUGUGUUUUGAGUGAGUGAGUGAGUGAGUGAGUGAGUGAGUGAGUGAGUGAGUGAGUGAGUGAGUGAGUGAGUGAGUGAGUGAGUGAGUGAGUGAGUGAGUGAGUGAGUGAGUGAGUGAGAGAGAGAGAGAGAAGAGGUGUGUGUGUGUGUGUGUGCAUGUGGCUUGCGUCACAAUCACCCUUGUCACAUUCAUCUGACCCUGCCUUUGCUGGCGGAUGGAAUAUGGAAGGGUACCCGCGUCCACCUGCCGCAUGCUUCGUUCCCUUCCCCCUUUCCUUUCCUUCCCCAUCGCUGGCCCUGCGUUCGUUCGCGGCCCUGCACUAGCAGCCCGAUGAGGCUCCUGUCCGCGAGAUAUCUAGCCAGCCAGCCAGUUAACCAGGCACCCACCUGCGAUUGGGCGUUUUGAUAGAGUACGACCCUGCACGACAGAUGUACGGAGUAAGGAGGACCCGCUUGGUAAGAAUCCUCGACUGGGCCCCAGGCAAGGAGUACACGCACAGGCAAGCAGGCAUAUGCAGGCUGGUAGGCCGCGCAGGUUUCCGACGUAACACCAUCUCCUCACACAUUACACGACAUAACAUUCAUCACCCAUUACGCAUUCACCAGCGCCCGCCAUCAUGCAUCCACCACCCCCAUCUUGGACCCACCAUCGCCAACUUCAUCCCACCAUCACAAGCCCUACACCUUAUUCACCCGGUGUCACAUACCGUUCAGCAUUACGUGCCCACACGAACACGAACCCACCCGGGAUGACGCAUGACGGUGGCUAUGCAGGGAACCGCGUCCAUAGCGGCUCGCGGUAGCCAGCCCAAGCUCUCGUCCCGACCAACGCUCGCGCGCCUGCUGCCACCACGCCCGCCCCCGCCGUCGUCGCAACUGUCCUCCUUAUUCUCCCCACGCCUGACCUCGCCACCCACAUUCACUGCCGCCUCCGUUUCGCUUCCAAUCGAUAUGCUCCUGCCUGAACCCAGGGGGAGGCCUGGAAGGUCAUUGUCGGAGGCGACGGGCAACCGUCGCUGCAGCGGCGGCGGAGACGCCGCCGCCGGCGGUGGCGACACCAAGGGCUGCUGAUGCGUAGAUUGCCCAGACGUCCGGUAACGGGCGCUGACUGUCCGGAGAAUGGCGCCGCCUGACGCGAGGAGCUCCGAACUUGAGACUGCAUUGACGGGGGAGGUGAAUGCGGGGAGCUGGACCUCGCCGUUGGCCGCAGCUUCAGAGCCGCCGUCACGGGCGCCAGUGGCGGCGGCGCUGUCGGCGGCCGACGGCACCGGCACUGCAGCAGCGAGAACGCCACGAACUAGUACAGCGGGUUUGGAGGCUUUUGCACGGCCUCUUGUGGCCAUAUCGUCAUCUCCCGGCUCCAAUAGGCAGCUUUGAAUCUGCAGCGGUUGGGAUUGUGGUAAAGGUGCGUUUUAGGGCUCACCUGUAUUUGGCCUCAUCCCAUCACACCACACCACACCACACCACACCACACCACACCACACCACACCACACCACACCACACCACACCACACCGCAAAGGAUAAACUACAUGCCGCCCAGAUAAAAUAGAUAGAUCGAUAAGUCAUCCCCUAAAGGGGAUAGAGUCACCAUUUGGUGCGCCGAGUUUUCUGACUUCUCCAAAUACACAUUCCAGCGUAUAUGUAUCAGGCUACGAUGCUUGAAGAGAAAGGAGGUAAGGAGCCCGUUGUUUUCGUGAUUUGUGAAACGGACGCCAUAUUGCUUGUGACCCCAGCUACCCGGGUACGGAUGGCACGCCGUGCAUGCGCGUAGGCAGGCAACACUUUUGAGCCGAGAGACUGUAUGACUUCGCUAAGGACAUAUCGGCACCCUCCUAUGCUGGCCCGCUGGCCACAGGGCAGCGGUCUGAAAUCGCUGGAUCUGGUCGCUCGUGGAUCCGGAUCUGGUCUGGAGACACGCCGACACUCCGAACACUCCGGAUAGGCUCCAGUACCCACCGUAAUCAUCGCUUCACGUCCAUCACGCCUUUGAGGAGAUAUUAAACGCGAAACAAGCUUUGUGGCCUGCAUGCGGGGGCUGAUUUGGAGCCGUAGGUGGAAUGCAAUCCCAUCCACAGCGCACCUGGGAACAUCCAUACGUGCGAGGUAUGCAUUUGAACAUGUGUAUUAUGGCUAAAACAUUUGGUUGUAACGGAAGGUUACGCGUGAACUUACUUAGCCGCUGCGUUGAACGCAGAUGCGGCGACAGGGUCGGACUCCCGCAACGCCUCCAAGUCGGUGUCAGCAUCGCCGCUGUCCAGAUUAAAAGCCUCACCAGAAGCUUUAACAGCAGUUAACUUGUAUGGGCAGUCUCUAUCGUCUCGUGCAUUUACACGCGGUUUCAGGCAAGAUGUGAGCUGGACCAUCCAUUCUCGCCCGACGCGCUGAGACCUCUGGAGAACUUCAAACACUAUACGGCCUUCAUCUUGGGAUUGCGACUCCUCGGUAGCUUUAGAUGAAAGUAAUGGUAGAGCUUUCAGCUCAGAGGUUUCUAUUCGCAGCAUAGCCUAAAGUAUAUGUCUCAAAGUAGAGCACCGCCGAGCCCAGCAGUUAAAAGGAUCGGACGGGGUUGGCACCCAAGUGUACGCGGCCUUGGCUCAGGAUAAACCGGGAGGGAACGAAAUACCGGUCCCGCCCAAUCGGAAAGAACAUUGCAAGUUUUUGCAUGAAGCGCUUACUCUCCGUAAGUAACUGCGUAAAAAGUUACUGACGCCUGACAAGGACUCGAUUAACUUCCGUACGCCGUCUGAAACUGCGAACUGUGGUACGUUUGCAGUGCUUUUAUUGUAUGACGUGCAGGCAGUAGGCUUACAAUUUCGAACAAAACAUUCAAGGUUAUGUAAAAAACAAUACAUAUUAGACCCUCAGACAUUUGCGAAACCAUUCUUACAUCAUCCUUUCGAAGUGGACGUCGCCACCCGUAAGCUAGACGUUCUUCUCUGCAUACCACUCAAGCACGGCGGUCCGGCAUUUUAAUUAUCUAAGGACUUAUAAUUGCCAUCUUUAUGUCGACGUUUAUCAAAAGCGAAUUUGUAACCGUCAUGUGACGCAUAUUGCAAUUGCCGGCUGACUGCCUUCGCCGAACGAACUUUAAGAUGGCACAUUACGCGUCAAGUCAAGGCUGUGGCGAACAGUGGCGAACUCCACAGCAGGCUUGGCGACUUCCAGCAAUGACGACCAAAGCCAAAAGGACUGUGACAGAAGUCAUUUCGUUCUCCUACAGGAACAAUAGUUUACAAAAGAGAAAGCAAAAUCCCAAUUUGGCACUCGCCGUGUAGCCGUCGGGAACAAAGAUCAGCUUAUCCUGGGGCAUGCCGUCUCCAGGCCGCUUGCCUGGCCCAAGGUCGUGCUGUGGGCGUAAAAAAAGAGGGGGCGAGGAGUCGUGACACCGCACGCAUGAAAGAAACUCUAUUCGCUUGAGCUGUGAAAGGCGGUUUUCUGUGGAUAGGGGCAACGUCGAUGUUCUCUGUUUUCUGGUGACAGCCCUGUAGGCGCCUUACGGCGUCUCUCGGGCACACAGGGUUGCGAUUCCGCGCCGUCCCUCCACAUGUUAGUAAGGGGCAUGACCUGCCGACUUGUGUGUGUGUAUGUGUGUGUGUUGUGUGUGUGUGUAUGUGUGUAUGUGUGCGAGAGAGAGAGAGUGAGAGAGAGAGAGAUGGGCCCGGGGGCUUUCCAACUCAAAGAUGCGCGCCUAAUUAGGCACAUCCACCGAAAGAGCUCGCUGAACUUAAAGAUCUCAAUCGGUCGGCUGUGAGCCGCCCCGCCAGUUGGCUGCACCACAAACGAAUGUACGGAAGGCCACGACAAGGACCCAAUACCGAUCAAGGAGUUACAGUAUCAAGGCCACAUUUACAGCACACGACCACCACAAACAACGUCAAGGGAUUGUAGAUGAUAUGCGCGUUGUAACGCGGCAAAUGUAUGAAGAAUAAAGUUAUCUUCAUCAUUAACGAAGCCCCCUCCCACGAAAAAACUCAUCCAUCCUGUGGCGCUCAAGAGCGGUUUGGGUCAAUCGAUGCAGCUGUUACGCCUCCCGAGUGAUUGGCUGCUCUGCUUGAAUCCGGAGAUUCAACGGACCCGCCCUCCUCCCUCAUCCAGUAAUUUUUUUUCAUUUGGGGGGGUCUCAACUUAUUCCGACCUAAGUAACAAAGUUGCUAGGGUCGCCGUAAUGUAUUCCGUAAGUGUGGGGCUUAUCUUGCUGUUUAAGUGUUUGUUCGGCGUUCAAGUCGUUGCCUUUUGCGUGUUUGGCUAUGUAAGGACCGGUCAUACAUUCUGCUAUGCCGCGUUGACUCACGGGCUUGACCUUCUUACGGCCCCUCAUAUCUAUUCUAUGAUCGAUAAUAAUAAGUUCUGCACACUACGGAGCAAUCUGGCAGCAAUGGACGUUUUUGGCUGGAAUGAAAAUGUACGGAUCGGCCUCAAUUCAUUCCCUUUUUCCAAAGGCCAAAAUGGCCUCUUUAUUCCUCUUAUGAGGAAUAUAUUACUUAAACACUGGGGUCCUGGUGAAGCAGCUGACCGCGUACUAAAGUAUAUAGAUGCGGAAGGUGGGUGGGGUGGGGUGGGGUGCAGGCAUGAGCUUGGUAGUGCCGUUGAGGAUUCAUGGAUUUGCCGAUGUACACCCUUCCGGUUGGUGCGCACGUGAUGGUGUAGAGUCACGUGCAGGGGGGGCCCAUACAAAUCGGGCGCGGCCGGGCUGGCGGCCAGACGUUUCAUUGGCGUCGUAGGAAGGAGGGCGUCCGAUGCUCGCGCUUGCGCUGCGGUGGUUAGCACCGAGUGUGCGAAGUGGUUAGCACUGUGUGCGAAGUCUUGGUCCACGGCCAGGACGGUGGUGGCGUCCAUGCCGUAGUCAUAUAUGAGGGUGAUGGCCGUAUCGGCAUUGCGUGGCAUUGCGUGGGCAUCGAGCGGCACGACAGCACAGCGGCUAAUGUCGCUGCGUGCAUACAGCGGCACUGGCAGUUGGCCUGCGUAGCAGCACAUAAGCAGCGGUGCCCCGUUACCAAGAUGACGAGCAUUGACUUGGACGAAGGUGUCGGCAGUGCCUUAAGAACAGCCCAAACAGUGCCUUAAGAACAGCCCAAACCGUAUUGCCACCAACUGCAGAGAAGCCUGAGACACUGUAUAUGGACACGGUUGGCAGUUGUAAUGCACAUCAUGAGCGCACCUUCCGCAGUCACCAGGAUAGGAUGUGGCGUCAUGUAAGAGUACAUAGUCGCUGAAUUGAGGCGGACUGAUGUGGGCUCGUACCAGAUGAGAGGUCCUACGCCACUACCGCGGCCAUAACUAUACCUAUGCGACCCCUUGGUUAACGCCUUACCAUGUAAACGCAGACCGACACCCGUCGCCCAGAAGUGCGCCGCGUCUUCAUCUGCUGGCGCACAUGCAUGCUUAGUUAAGCAGCCCCUAACCCUAAACAUAAGAACAGAUAAGUCGUUCAGAGCCGUGUAAGUAACAUGGACGCCGCUGAUGGCUUGGAACAGCUUUUUGCUGUGCAUACGGCCGUGCCUGCGUUAGCCGUGUUGCAGCAGCUCCGGAUGGACUUCAGCCAGCAGCAGGCUCAUAAGCUGCUGGACAACCACCGGGAAUUUCUUCAGUUGGGCACGUGUAGUUUUGGUCGGUCGGCGGGUCGAGCAUCGUACGCAUUGCGCACAGAAACCGAGGUGCAGCGUCUCUGUAACAUCGCCAACAUAUCCGGUACGCGGUGGCAGGCUUGCCGAGCACGAAAUGAAGCUUAUGAGCCUGCUGCUGGCUGAAGUCCAUCCGGAGCUGCUGCAACACGGCUAACGCAGGCACGGCCGUAUGCACAGCAUUCCAAGCCAUCAGCGGCGUCCAUGUUACUUACACGGCUCUGAACGACUUAUCUGUUCUUUUGUUUAAUUUUGUGUAUGUUUUGUUUAAUUUUGUGAUAUGUUAUAUAGGCGUUGCGCUAUCAAAAGCAGGCGCCUUUCCAUUUCGAAAAGUGCCGCUUCACCAGACGCUUCCUCUUCUCGCGGCCAUUUCUUGAGCCCAGUCUUGCAAGCAAAGUUGUAUGCUUUCAGUUACGUCAAAACAGCCACCCAUUCCUCCGGCCUGCUUGCCGCGUGCGACUGUGGCCAACAUGCCCUCCCGCGCAACGCGCUGGCACACCGCGGCCUUUCGCCAAACAAAUUACAUACACUUGUACGCGCGCAUUUUGAGAAUCGCACGCGCGCAUCCGCGCGGUAAAUUCGCUCCUGGCUUUUGGGGCGUCUUGUACGAACGGUUUCAAUUGUGCGAGGGGCUGAUUAAAAAAAACACUGCCCUCAUCCCUAGCGCCCAGGAGCCAUGUCUCCACAAUGCCAGAGGCCCGCGCGCGGGGCACCUCUUGGCUGAAUGGGGCCCUUACUUGGGGGGCAGGGGCCUAAUGCCGGACGAUGAGACAAUUGGCCCGCGGCUGGCUGCUUCCCCUUGCAGGGACCCCUCAUGCUCCCUGGCCCUGAUAAUUACAGACAGUGCCUGGUCUGGUCUGGGUUGACACUACUGCAAUUAGCGGUUUAAGGACCGGGAUUCGAUUCCCGGGGAGACCCCCGAAUUAGUCGGGAGCGCGAGAUUAUGGCUAGCUGCUGAGAUGUCGAGUUGAGCUCACAGGUUAUGGACCAGAUUCGCACGCUGGAUUGUUGGCGAUUGCCGAACCCUCCGUCUCUUCAGAUGUUCGGGUGAAUGGAUGAGGAGGGAUCCCUGAAGGCUGGAUCCACCCCCUUGGACUUACAGUUCGUAUGGCGUAGUACAGUGCGGUAGUGGUGGAUGGUGCUAUAGGGUGAUAAAUCGUGGAAUUGACAAUGUGAUAAAGUGGCCCAGAAGCCUCCCACUCUGUAACAUAACAUAACACUACAGCCAGUGCCUGGGUUCUGCCUGGGAGGGGGAGUAAUGCCUUCAGGAGCCGCUGCUUUGCCAACAUGAGCAACUUUUGGUUAAUGGUUGAGGGGGGUUCUAUACACCGUAGGGGGAAGUUGAGUCGCGGGGAAGCGACGUUGGGUGCCUAGGUUUAGCUGCUUGUUCGGUUAUGGUUUUCCGUUAGGCCCAUAUGUGUGGUGCUGUGCUGGUGUGUGGUCGCAUCCGCUUUCGCAUGGUCUCCAUGGCAUCCACUUAAUGCUUCAUUGAGCUGCUGUUGUGGUGGUGGGUGUGACAGAGAUCUAAAGAUGGUGUGAUCAGGGCCCAAGCAAAGUCCCGGAAAGACUUCCCGCAAGAGGCUUUGCCCGCUAGACAGUCCGGUAGGUUGACAGCGCGCCUUCGACAGAGGUCUCCUCCUGACGACGUCCUGGCGACGCCCGCUCUCACUCACUCACUCGCAACCGAAACCGCUGUCCUUGGAACCCGAGUGGACAAUCCACAUCAACACAGACAGCAAUACUCUCUAGUUUAGUAGUACCUUGUUUGUGUCGUUAGAAUCCCCAACCAUGCUGCGGCUUGCUGUGGCCGCGGCCGCGGCGGCGGCUGGCGCGCUGCUCAAACCUACGAAAACUCGGGGCCCCCCGCCUGUUUCGUCCGGGUACAUCCCUACCAAUUGUUGGGCAGGAGACCAACAGGGCCCCCGCGAUACCGAGGGUCAUCUCCUCCCCUUUGACCCCCCCCGCAUACACACACACACACAUACAUACAUACAUACAUACAUACAUACAUACAUACAUACAUACAUACCACAGCUGGGUAUAUGGAGUAAAUACCCAGCUGCUGUGCUACGUCUGGAAAAACACCCAAUACCCUCCCACCCUCCCGCAUCCAUCUUGUUUUCAUCCCCUACAUCCCCCAAACACACACACACACACACAC